RNAcentral lists this long non-coding RNA (59695 nucleotides) under Sorghum bicolor (sorghum). RNAcentral describes it as "long non-coding RNA (SBIC_LNC011980)". The record is from RNAcentral. Lineage: Eukaryota; Viridiplantae; Streptophyta; Magnoliopsida; Poales; Poaceae.
CACUUCGAAGCAAAAUAUGAAGGACUUUUACAACUCCCAGACUCCACCAAGUGAAGAACCUAGAUCUACGAGCACAAACACACUGGAGAGACUGGACACUCAGGCAACCACUGCCCUGAGAUGCUUGAGGACGUAACUACUGGAGUAACCCGUGGAAGCAAUUGCUGACCUUCUGCUGGUUAAGAGAGGCGAUCCCGGACGCCCCGUCAUCCCGAUCUCCAUCGGCAUGGUGGACGUUCCAGAAGCACUCUGCGACUUUGGCUCCAGCGUCAACAUUAUGCCCAGGGUACUCUAUGAAAAAUUCUCUACACAUCCUUUAUUAGAAACAGCCAUGUGUUUGCAGCUUGCAGAUCGUACGCUAAGUUUCCCAAAGGGAAUAUUGAAGAACCUCUACGUCCGAGUUGGUACCUUGUACGACCCAGCAGACUUCAUGGUGAUAGAGACUGGUAGUGAUGAGAGGGCACCCAUCAUCCUAGGGAGGCCAUUCCUGAACACCUCGGGAGCUAUCAUCUACGCUAGUGCUACCAAGAUCAGUUUCUACAUCAAGGGAAGGAAGGAGGCGUUUUCCUUCAAGAACAAGACUACACAAAUCCCAGAGCAAUCCCGACAUGAACCAAGGAAGAGGACCAACAGGAGGAACAAGAACAAGCAAAUGUGUACCGAGUCAGCUAAGAUGGUCACUACAGCUCAAGGAGGUCAAGAUCGUCAACUCAAGUCACCUUUCUUGAUCAAGAAGGACGACCCUGGUGUCCCAAGCAUCGAGUGCACAAUCAAUGGAUAUUCUUUUCAGAAGACACUCUACGACACCGGAUCUAAUGUCAACAUAAUGGCCGCAGUCACUUAUCAGCUCCUGUAUGGAACCAUGUCCCUACAACCAACAUACAUUCAGCUCCAGAUGGCAGAUCAGACAUUCUGAAAGAUUGAAGGUUAUUGACAUGGGAGAAGACGAGUACGAUCCACCCAUCAUCCUUGGAAUACCGUUCCUCAGCACUGUUAAAGCAAUCAUCUACAUUGGAACCGGAGAAGUCCACAUGCACUUCCCCUCUGAGAAGGUACGCUGCUAUUUUACUGACUCUAACUAUAUAGUUGAAGACUCUAAGCAGGUCAGGAUAAGAAGACGAUGACGCAACCGCAACCAGAGGAGGCAAAUCAUCAAGGACGGAUGGGUAGACUAUGAAGGAGAAGUUGUAAGGUCUGAAGACAUACAGCUUGAACAGAACUGUCCUAAGGAGACCGUAGCACCGAGUCAGGUGUGUAGAGAGAAGAUAGUUAUACACGAAGAGGAGGCACCGCCGGAACCACCGACUACGCCGUCCAGCGAAUCCUAGGACGAUUGAGAAAACAGAGAGUCCAGUUCGGAGGACUUAAAAACACCGAACGCCUUGCCAAGAGGUAAACUUGGUAGUUAUCUUUUUCCUUUCAAUUAUUUUAAAAUAGUUUGCUUAGUUAAUCAGGUUUAUAUCAUCUUGAAAAGAAAAUAAAAAUGUUAAAAAUAGAAAGCCCCAUGUGAGUAUGCUCAUGGCAUAAAACCCAUAAGUACAUUCACUGUGGUGGCAUAAAAAUGAAAUAAAUAUAUUCCUGUCCUAUAAAAAUAAAAUUAUAAAAAUAAAAUUAUGAUCCUACUAAUGAGUAACAUUUAUUGAGGAGGCUCAACAUGAUAAAGGGUAGAUAUUUAUGCUAACACUUAACUAGUUCCACAAAGCUUUGUUGUCUAUUUGAGCUCCACAGAAUUCAAGGAUCAAAGAAGACUAGCAGACGGAGGACAUCCUAAUCGCUGUCAGGGUGCUGCCGAUAUUCAAAUACACCUCCGCCACCUGCUAGUUACAUCAGAAGAAAUUACGUAAAAAUCUAGCUUGGGGGAGAGCACCCCCAUUUAUCCAGCUAAGUGUUCUACUCACGUUUAUAUUUCACUCAAAUAAUAAAAAGAUGCAUAAUCAUAAAAACCCAAAUAAAAAUUUUGUGCUUAUAUAUAUCUUUGCUUAGUUUGCUAAAUAAAUAAAUAAAUAAAGUUUGCUAUGAACCCUCAUGAUAAGCUCUAAAAUGGAAAUGAUGAAUAGUUGCUCUCCUAUGACUAGUUCUUAAAUUGAAAUCUCUCUCAAGUUUAGGCAUGACUGUUAUUAAUUAAGAUUUGCUCUAAACCUAAACUUGUGGGGAGAGUACUUGAUCUAAAGUCUAAGUCGUUAACGGAUAUGAUAUGGAAAGGUUGAGCUGCUGUUUUUCUGUUCCUAGAGAUGCUAGAAUUCUGGAGAAUUUUAUCUUUAAAAUCUUUAAAAUAUUGCAUGAUGAGUUCCUGUAUGAUGAGAGUUUAAAAUCCUACCACAGCCAUAUAUACAUGCUUAUUAGACUAUGAGCCACACAUUUACUAUUUACUGCUUAUGAGCAUUGAGUGUGGUCAAGCUGUGUAGACCCUUAGGAGCUUGUCAUGUGGUUAAAUCAAGAUUCACUUGCAUGUUCACUCACACAUGCUGCUUCUACUCCGGAAGUACGCAUCCACAUAUAUCCAUCCAUUUCCAUCUCCAGAACCACCCAAAAAUAUUCUACUCCUAAUCCGGGAGAGAAUAGCCAAAAAUAUUUCUGUUUUCCCCUGUGAAAUAAAUGCUCAAGUUAUCUUGGUUACUACCACUUGCUACGUUAGUUCAAGAGAUGAGUGCUCUAAAAAAAAGAAAAAAAAGAGAACAAAAAAGAGUACGAGGAAAUAAAAAGGGGCAAGUGCCCGGAACCUCGAAAGAAAAGAAAAAAAAAGUGAGACGAGAGGUAAAAAUGGACGAGUGUCCGACAGUAGAAUUAGGGGUACAAGAUACCCACCUGAGAGGAAAGAAAAAGAAAAAAAAUAGAGCAUCUCAUUCUCUUCAAAAGUUUCAAAAGAGCAAGAAAGGUAUGUAUCCCCUCAAAAGAGCAUAAGUAGAAUUAGACUUUCACCAUUGUUAUCACCAUCAUUACCAUGCAUCAUUCAUUCGCCACACAUGCACAUCUUGAUUUGACUUAUUGACUUGUUCUUCUGGAUCCAUGGUUUGACUAUGCAAUAAAUGUCUUGUAAGUAUGUAUUAGCUGUCUCCCACCUAUGAGCUCCAGAUAUCAAAAGCCUUAUUAGAGUAAGGUGAGAGAGAAGGCAAUGCCACUAUGCCUUAUACCACAAAUACCACAUACUUUGAGAGAAGGCAUAUACCAAUACUGCCUUGGUAAGGAUCCAGAAAUACCACAAAAGAGAGACUAGAGAGAGUCAUACAAGGAAUCUCUGAGUUUUAUUUGAAAAUCUGCAAAAACUCCAGAGCUAUAGUUAAUCGAAGAACAAGAGACAUGGUGCUUGACUAGACCGUUCUAUCUUUUAACUGCUCAAGACAGAAGUGACGGUUACAAGUCCCAUGGUGAAAGGUAAAUGAGUAAGUUUUAAGUCUUAACAGUUUACUUUAACCAGAGAUGAGAUCUUGUUUAAACGCACGUGUAUCUUUAAGUUAUGAAACCACUGCAGAAACUCUUGAGUUCAUCUUUGCUCAGGGACGAGCAAAGGUUAAGCUUGGGGGAGCUUGAUGACGGUCCUUAAUGCUCACAUUUAACCAUGAACUAAUCAUGGAAAAGGGUCCAAAUGCAACCAACACCUAGACUUAGGGUUUUAUCUGACAGAAUUCCACAAGUUUUGGUGUUUGUGUAUUUCUGCAGGGGGUUAUCAGGAAAUACGGAAGAAAGGCCCACACGUCGGGUUUACAUAGAGAUAUUAACGUGCCGCGCAAUUUUCUAUCAUCUAGAAGACUCCAGAAGCCACGGGAACAAAGCGGAAGACGAGAGGCCUCAGGGACAGGGCGCCCGCCCUAGUCCUGAGGGCGCCCGCCCACCUGUUCUGCCCAAUCAGGGUACAACUCGGGGAUCAUGCUCCACCGACCUAAUACUUCAAGGAAAACCACACGAUCAAUGUCGGUUUGAUCCGACGGUCCAGAUUCACUUGAAGGGACUAUAAAACUAGACCCCCCUGGCCCCUGGAGAUCAUACCUCUUCUAUAGAAUCAAAGUUAGGGUUUCAAUUCUUCAUCCAAGUAGAGAGGAUCCCUCUAGUUCUUCUAGUUCUACCUCUAGUUCAUCUAGAUCUAGUUCUAGUUCAUCUAGUUCUAGUUCUAGUUCCUCUAGUUCUAGUUCUAGUUAGUUCUAGUUGUAAUCCAGAAAAUAGGGAGAGAGAAGAGGAGAGCGGAGGAGGAGCCGGAUCUGUCGGAUCUUCCUCAACAUUGUACUUUUGCAGCAUCUGGUUCGUUCUUCAUCGUUCUCCAGGUUCUUCAACUCAUAACUCCUGAGUUCUCUAAUUACUUUUAUUUACAUUCAAGUUAUUUAUUGGAUUCCCGCUUGCAUCAAGUGCUCUAGUCUUUGAAACAUUAGAGUAGUAAUUAAUAGAUUAGACGUGGUGUUUAGUCUUGCGAUUACCUGGAAUUGCACCCAAUCCUGCGGAUUGUUGUGGUAGCCUUAGGGUAGUGACAGCCCUAACGGUCGACGUAUUCCACCACGUUCGGAUCGGUGUUUGUAGGACCGUAGUCAAACCUUCCUAGCCCCCUUCUCAUCUCUUUCUGUGGUUAGUGCUCUGAUGUCCCGAUAUAGAUAAUCUUGAAGUAAUUCUUGAUUCUUAGAUCAACUAGAGAACUCUCAGGAAACUUCCUCUCUUCCCACCAAAAAAUAAUCAUAUAGUUAUCCUUGGGCGAUCUUGGAUCUUAAUUAGUACACUCACGUUCUCUGUGGAAAAUCGAUACUCUGGAAUACUCCCGGGUGAAAGCUACAUCGGUAUCCGUGCGCUUGCGGAUUUUUCUAUUUGCGUUUAAAAUACCCAACACCGACCAGUGGUGGCCUGCGCGACGUCCGGACGAUUGCGCGGCCUCCGGACCAAAGAAGGCGCGGCCUCCUCGUCGUCGUCGUCGUCGUCGUCGGUGAUUCGGACGAGCCGACGGCGCUUCGGCGCCUGGCUGCUCUCUGCUGGCAGCGCUUCUAUAGGGGAGGGGUCUGCUGCCAGCGGCCUUUUCCCCGCCACUCUCUUUCGGUGGUCGGGGCGGGAUCGUUCUGCUCCUCUUCGCUGCUAGAGUAUCGAGCACACCGAGCAGCGUCAUCCUCUGGCGGGUCUACUCCCGCGGGAUUCUCCAUGCCAGGUGCCAGCGAUAUGUACACCGCGCACCGGUCAACGUCUCCAAUCUGCAACACAAUCAAAGACAAGUCAACAACUGGAAGAACAAGUACUAAGGAGGUAACAUCAGUCAGUAACAUUACCUUAGGAGCUGGUCGCCCCAGCUUGAAGGCCUGCACCCGAUCACCGCUUCGAACGAAGCUGUUGUCUGCAAAGUUUAACAGCUCGGUCAACAGCUGUUGCACUUCUGCCUUCUCUAGAACUAGGGGACUCAUCCUGGUCCGGUCCUGGCUCCCCGCGUACUCGUACGCCGAGUGUACCCUCUUCUGGCAGGGCAUCACCCGACGACAGAUGAAGUUGCCGACCACUCCUGGCCCGUCUAAACGCGACCAGUUGAUCAGCUUCAUCAGGUCUUUUACCUGACCAGCGAACUGUGGGCGGUCUGUACAACUGACCCUCUUCUCGGGAAUGUAGCCCACCUCGCAGAACGUGGAGCUGCCCGACUCUUCCCUAACGUAGAACCACUUCUUGUACCAUUCGGUGAGAGAAGUAUUCCACGCGCAGUUGAGAUACCCGUUCUUCAUUCUGUCACGCAGAUUGAGGUAUACUCCACCUGCAAUCUUGGAGCCUCCAACUGCUCCUUUCUUCCUCAAAUAGAAAAGGUAGCGGAAAAGAUCGAAGUGCGGCUCUAUCCCAACAUAGGCCUCGCACAGAUGGAUGAAAGUAGAAAUAAGAAGAAUGGAGUUCGGGUGUAGAUUGCAGAUCCCGAUCUCAUAGUAAAGAAGAAGCCCCUGGAGAAAAGGAUGGACAUGAAUCUCAAAGCCCCUCUUGAAAAAAUCUUCAAAAACCACGAUCUCACCGGCAUGGGGGUCAGGGUAGCUCUCCCCCUCUGGCGCCCUCCAGCCGCCGAGCUCUUGGCUGUGCAGCAGCCCCAUACUGACGAGGUCGUUGAGGGACCUCCUGCUGCUCCGGGACUUCUUCCACUCCUUAGCCAUCAGCUCGGCCCUCUUCUUGGAGUCACUCUUCGCCAUUGAUGCUGCGGGAACGACUGCGAGUUGGGAGGACUGACGGUGAUUGCAGAAGGCAAGAAUGGCAAGAAUGGGAAGAAGGCAAUGGCAGGGUAAAAGAAUACGGGGGCAAUGUCAAGCUUUUAUAAGCAACAACUCCACCCCUCCCACUUCCCGCAUUCUUGGGAAGUGGGCGGGUCCAGCGGCGGACGCGGCGUUUCGGUUUUCAACAAUUACCGGCAGUUAAUACGGCCGCCAUUUUGUAUAAUUGAUGGUUUCCUUUUCUUGAACCGUGCAAAGAGCGGCUGCACAGUUACCAGGCGCACCUUUUCACGCAGCCAUCUGACAAUGCGUCAGGACGUCUCGUCACGUCACACAUUAAUGUGUCAAGAUGCCCUUUUUUCAAAAUAACAGACAAAAAUUGGUGGAGGACGGAUGUUCGUGGAGACUGCACCGACCACCGAGCACUAUACGCUCGGGGACUGGUCGACCAGUCUGCCAGUUUGGAGACCUGGAGACUGCACCGACCACCGAGCACUAUACGCUCGGGGACUGGUCGACCAGUCUGCCAGUUUUGAGAACUGGGGACUGUAAUGAUCGCCAAGCGUUAUAUGCUCGGGGACUGGUCAAUUAGUCUAUACGAUGGCAAACGAGCAUGAUAUGCUCGGGGACUGGAUAGUUCUAAUUUUUUAGACCUUGCUACAAGGCUCAUACUUCGCCUUCCAGGAAGCUCGGGGACUACAUCAGUACGAUGCAUCUGGCGAUGCAUCUCAGUUUUAGAAUUUCUUUAAGGACUUUUCUUUUGACCCUGGCACCACAUGCCUACGUCACCUACUACCAGGCUCGGGGACUAAGUGGGCACACUUCACCUUGCGGUGAAUAUGCUUGCUUUUUGGAAGACUGUACUUUUUAUAAAAGUAAAGUGGGCACACUUCAUCGAGAAAAGAAAUAUUUUUUCUCAAGAGCACCAUGCAUUCUUCGAACAACUUGCUUCUUCGACGUCAAUGUUGGUCAACUAUUUUUUGAGUUGGUCAAAAUAUUGUUGCAACUGUUUGGAUGACUUUCAUGCUAAUCGAAGAUGUCAAGCCUUACUGAUCGAAGAAGCUCAAGGCGGCGUGUUACAUCACAAUACACGGUGCUUGGGGACUAGCUGUGGGGGUAUAAACCCCUAUACCCUUACGGCUAGACUUGGGCCAGGAGGCUUGGUCCAUUACGAGAUGAGUUUGAGGCUUGAUUUGACUGCUCAGAGUUUUGCGCAAGGAAACAAGACGUGGAGAUCAAGCAGGAUUCUAGUCGGUUAGAAUAGGAAUUGAUAUCGAACUAUCUAUGGCAGUUGUAACCGACUAGGAUUAAUUUCCAGAUCUGUAACCCUGCCCUCCGGACUAUAUAAGGAGGGGCAAAGGACCCCCUUAGGACACAUUAUUCUCUCGACACAAAUCAAUACAACAAGAUGCAGAACGUAGGUAUUACGCCCACACAGCGGCCGAACCUGGAUAAAAAGCUUGUCCGUGUCUUGCAUCUCCAUCGAGUUCGUAGCUUGCGCACCGUCUACCGAUAAACUACUACCAUGGGUAUACCCCAGGGUAGACUGCCGACUAGCUUUCGUUGACAAUUUGUUACCCCUGAUACUUAGGUAGGCGACCGGUCCAAAGAGAUCCAUGUGGAUGAGCUCCAAUGGUUGUGUGGUGGUCAUGAUGCUCUUUGGUGGGUGAGGUACGCCAACUUGCUUUCCGGCUUGACGAGCUCUACAUAUCCUAUCUUUCUCAAAGUGAACAUUUGUUAGUCCAAGAAUGUGUUCAUCCUUUUGAAGUUUGGCCAAGUUCCUCAUCCCAACAUGGGCUAGUCGGCGAUGCCAAGGCCAACCUAUGCUAGAUUUUGCCACUAAACAGGUCUCAAGAUUGGCUUUACUUUUGUUGAAAUCAACUAGGUAAAGCUUAUUCUUUAAACGACCCGUAAAGACAAUAGAGGAAUCCUCCCUUCUAAAGACUUCCACACCCUUAUCCGUAAAGAGACAAUUGUAACCUAUCUCACACAACUGAGAAACGGAUAACAAAUUGUAGCUCAACGAAUCAACAUGCAAAACAUUUGUAAUUGAAUGCUCAAGGGUUAUAGCAACUUUACUGAGACCAAGCACAUCCCCCUUAGAAUUGUCUCCAAAGAUAAUAUUCUCAUUUGAGUCCACCUUUGGGGUAUAUGAUUGGAACAUACUCCUUUCUCCAGUCAUAUGAUUUGUACAUCCACUAUCAAGCACCCGACUUGAUCCACCGGAGGAGUAUGCCUGCAAAACAAGUUUAGUUGCUAGAUUUAGGUCCCCAAAUAGACUUGGGGCCUUGCAUGUUAGUCACAAGUAUCUUAGGAACCCAAAUGGAAGUAUUCUUGUAGACAUUGAUCUCCUUGCCAACAUACUUAGCAACAACUUCACCAUGGUUGUUACUUUUCAACACAAAGCAUGAUGACAAGCUUUGUCGAGGUGCAUGGACCUUUGGUUGAUAAGCAUACUUGUUUGGAGUUCCCCAUAUUAAUUCCUUUGGCUUCUAGGAAAUCUUCUUUUCCUUGUAUGUCACUUUCUUUUAGGGCUUAGUUUGAUUAGGAACAAAAUUGGUAGCCUUCCCAUUUUUGCGGGGUGUGACAUUACCGCCCUUCAUCAUGGUAUUGCCACUAUGUGGCACUACCGCUCGGGGACGUUGUAGUGUCACAAUCUGUGCAGGCCGCUCUACACCAAUUUUGCCCUUCCUUUCAAAUUGGACACACUCAUAGCCAUUGAUUAUCUUUCUUCCAUUUGUCUUGGCUCCUAUUGUGUGUUCAAGCCCAUGCUUGAUUGAGGGAUGUCUCCCUUGCUUGAAUUGAGGCCCUUUUGGAUCAUUUUCCCUUUUAUCACUCACUUGCUCCUUACCACCCAAGCAAUUCUUACUAAUGAUCUCAUUGAGCCUUUCAAUCUCCUUUCGCAUAGUCUCUAAGUUUACAAGGUUAGUAGAAUGAGCAUUCAAAUCAAGAUUUUAACAUUUUCCACAACCUUGACUAGUGGAGGGAGUAGAGGCAUCCUUUGCCUUAGAGGGAUGUGAGUUGCUAUCCCAAAGAAUGCUAUAUUGUGCCUCAAGUUGCUUGUACAUUCCAUCUAAGUCACAAUACUUUUGCUUGAGGGCAAUAUUUGCUUUCUUUGUGAUAGCAUGGGCCCCUUGCUCUUUGGCCAAAGCCUCGCGCAAGGAUUCCACCUCACUUCUCUCUAAUGCAAGAGCUUCCUUGCUAGCAAUGUAGAGGUUCUCUUGUUUGAUAAGAGUCUCUUCACUAGAUUCUAACUCAGCUUGAACACUCUCUAAAUCCUCCAUUAGCUUAGUGAUGAACAAUUUGGUCUUGCUAUCCAAAUUUUUAGUUAUGUUAUCAAUUUCUUCAUCACUAGACACAUCAUCACUAGAGUAAUCACUUAUAUCACUACUAGAUGUGUCACUAGGGGGAGAAGGUUUGGGUUUGGAUUUUACCUUCUCACCCUUUGCCAUAAGACAAAUGUGAGGGGAGUAGUAGUCAUCAUCAAACAUGUUGUUGAAGAGCCUUGGUGUGGAGGAUGGCUUGUGAAUAGCCAUAGUUGCAAUCUUCUCAUCCUCCUCACUUGAGCUAUCUUUUGUUGAGUCCCAUUCAUGUCUAAUGUGAGCUUCUCCCUUGUGUCUUUUGCUCUUUUUGUAGUCGAUCUUGCUCUCUUUCUUGUCUCUUUUGUAAUUGUUGUCUUCCAUUUCAUGAGGACAAUGAGCAAUGAGAUGUUCGGUGCUUCCACAGUUGUAGCAUAGACUCUUCUUCUUGUUUGGGAACUUCCUCUUCACUACCUUGUAGCCUUGCUUUUGAGUCCCUUUUGAUAUCUUCUCAAAAAGAGAGCAAUAUCUUGCACUUUCUCAUAUUGUUCACUAUCACUUUUAUCUUCACUUGAUGAUGAUGUUGUCUCUACUUCUUUGACUUGCUUUGGUGCUUUGGUCUUGCUAGUUGAUGCUUGCUUGUUGGACUUGGACUUGCUUGUAGAGGAUCGUUUGGUUGACUUGUUGGCUUUGAGAGCUACAUCAUCAUUGAUCUUGAUGCCUUCUAGCUUUGCUUGCAGCUCACCAAGCUUCUUUCUUUCAUUGGCUUCUUCUCUUUGCAUAUCAAAUGUCAAAAUCCUUCCAAGUACAUCAUUUGGUGUGAAGUACUCAAACUUCUUCUUGUCUCUAAUUAGAGUGACUACGGUCUCAUUUCUUGGUGAAUAAGCUUCCAACAUAAUCUUGACAACUUUAUGAUCAUCUAACUCAUCACGACCAUAGCCUCUAAUCUUGCCCACCAAGGACAUCAACCUAUCAAACAUCUCUUGUGGCCCUUCUCCGUCCACGAUAACAAACCGGUUGAGCUUGGCCAUCAUCAAAUCAAUUCUUGCCUUUCUUACUUUGUCAACUCCUUCAUGUGUAAGGUGCAAAGUAUCCCAUAUUUGCUUGGCAAUGUCAACACCAAUCACUCUAUUGUACUCAUCACCAUCCAAAGCACUAAGCAACACACUUGUGGCUUGACCAUUGAGGUGAAUGAUUCUCAUCUCUUCUAAUGUUGGGUUCUUGGGAUCAACUGGUGACUCAAACCCAUUGCAAACAACCUCCCAAAUGCCGGGGUGGAGACCUAUAAGAUAAGCUCUCAUCAAGUGCUUCCACUUGGCAAAGUUAGUCCCAUCAAAAUGAGGUAACUUCCCUGCGGGUACAUUAAUAAAAGACUUCCGAUCAUGGUUAGUCAUAGACAUAGAAGAAUAGUUAAAGGAUAUGGUGGCAUAUUUGUCAUUGUCGUUCUUCUUGCCCUUUCCUUUCUUGUCCUUCUUGCUAUGCACUUGAUAGGACUCAUCAUCAUCACCAUCUUCGGAGCUGCUAGAAAGCUCACUAGAAGAUGUAUUGGGAGCUUUGGCUUCUUCUUUCUUCUUCCUAGCUUCCCUUCUCUUUCUUCUUUCUUCUCUUUCUUGCCUUCUUCUCAUCUAAUCGUUGCCACUCUUUCUUCUUUUCUCUUGCUUCUCUUUUGAGCUUUCUUGCUUCUUUCCUCUUUCUCUUCUCUUCUUCAUUGAGAGCACUUUCACCAUCGGUAGGCUCGAGAUGAGGAAGUGUGGUAUUGCUUGUUGUCGACACACUGAGUUGGCUGCUAUCAGUGUCACUGUCAUGCAAGCCCAUUUCCUCUGGACGAACUUCCGUAGACUUUGCACCGCUCGAUCUUCCUCCAGGCUCCAUACCUCACGCGGUGAAGCGCACACGAGGUAACCGGCUCUGAUACCACAUGUAAGGAUCCUCGGUAGCCUAGAGGGGGGGUGAAUAGGCUUAUCUAAAAACCUGAAAAUCAAAAACUCAAGUUGCAGAAGUUAAAUGCCUCUCGGUACCACCGACAGUUUGGGCCGGUACUACUGGUGUAAGACAGCCGGUACUACCGACGCAAACUGUUGGUACUACCGGCCUCCUAAGAGAGCUACAAAAUCAGAGUAUAAUGAGUUUUGAUUUUAGAUCUGGGAGUUACCCCACUCUCCUACAUGUAGUUGAGGAUGAUGUUGAAGUUCUCUUGACUCGGUUCUUCUCCAAAACGUAGAUCGGCCCUUGUUCACCUAUGAAAAGGGGUAUAGAGGAAGAACACGAAGAACACAAGAACAAGGAUAGUCGAUGCUACCUCCACAACAAGACAAGAUAUUUAUCCGAGGUUCGGCAAUCCCCACUAAGGAGUUCCUACGUCCUCGUUGUUGAGGUGACCACGAAGGUCCGACCACUUAGGCCUCCUCCCUCAAGCAACCACGAAGGUUAGCUAGAGAUUUCCAUUAAGAAUCAAAGGGUAAUACAAACACUUCGGGGUGCCCUCACAAAUGAAACAACAUGGGCAACCACGAAGAACGCCUAGCCGGCUAGGGUUCCAAGAACCCAAGAGUAACAAAUGCAAACCAACCGGCAAGACGAAGAAACCAAGUGCUCAAGUCACGAAUUGAAGCUCCCAACUCUCUAAUCUCACUUCUCUAGCUCGAAUCUCUCAAGGAUUGAAGCCUAGGAGCAAAGAGGGAGAGAGAGUGGGUGAGUCAAAGCUUGGAGACUGUUUUCUUAGAUGUGGAUUCGAAGGAAUGGAAGAGCCAACGGUCAGAAAUGAGGGAAGAGCUAUUUAUACAUAGGUCCUGAACAACUGCCGGUACUACCGGGGCAACCACCGGUACCACCGGCUACCUCAGAUCUAACGGUAAGAAGUCUCUAUGAUUUGCGAGAAAUAAGCCUACCGGUACCACCGGGCUUUUGUCGGUACUACCGACCAUUGCCGGUACCACCGGUGGAAGGCCGGUACCACCGGCAGUUCAAAUCUCCACAACCAAAGUCAGCGUAGAUUUAGCCUGCCGGUACUACCGGCGUUUCACACCGAUACUACUGGUGCUAGCCGGUACCACCAGCCCGAGCCCGGUACUACCGGUAGUUUAUUUUCUCGCAAAACUCAGGAGAAAGGCUGGCACUGCCGGUACCACCGGCCCUAAGGGUUGGUACUACUGGGUCACCCUGGCCGAGAUGAAAUUUCCUGAGUGCCUGUGAGUGCAGUGUGUCUCUCAUGCGCAUUAAGUAAAUUGACUUGAGCACCCCUAUCCUCAUCUUACCAACUUAAUUUGCAUCCCUCUUGAUAGUGUGGCGUUUCCUAAAACUCAACAAAAGAUAAAAACUUUGUAGCCACUUGAGUCGAAACGCCAUUCAUCUAUUGAAAACUUGGAGUGCUAUAAUUCACCGAAUGUUUUUGUUCAACUCCAUCAAUGGACCAACACAUUUGAUAAAUUGGGCUUUUUCCAUCUCACAUCUCAUGUGUUAUCCUCAUUCUUAUUUUACCUGCUUGUCAUCUCAACAAAUCUCAUUAGUCCUCUAAUUGUGUGGUCAUUAACACCAAAACCCACUAGGGCUUGAUUGCACUUACAGACUGACUUUGUUUUCGAGCGCUUACAGGCUCCUCCGAUCCUCGGCCGCCGACGGGUGCCGAGAGUGCCCCGCCUCGUCCAUUGGUGGGGGAGUCCACCCCGCCGUCACCGAAGUGGGUCGAGACGUCUCGCUCUCAAUAGCAGGAAGGAGCCCUCGAGCCUCCCCGAUGUGGGAUCGAGGGGGAUCCUAUCACUAUAAGUGACGGGUCCGGCGGUGACAGGCUUUCAAAGGAUGCCCGCUCCAUGGACGAGGAGGUCAAGGUUUCCCCUGUCGCGAAGCGGACGCCUUGGCCCAUCAGGCUUGACUCCGUCGAGGAGAAGAAGAAUAAGGAAGUGGAAGAGCGUGGGAGGGAGUCGCAGCAACAGCUGCAGGAGGGGCAGCAACAACUGCGGCCGGAUGGAGAAGAAAGAGAGAAGGGGCGGCGGCAACAAGGAGAAUGGCUCGAAGAGCUGCUGGAGCAGGACCGGUAGCAGGAGCUGCUGGAACUCCAGAGGCAGCAGCAACAACAGAGUCAGUAGUUAGAAGAACUGCUCGAGCCGCCGCCGCGAAACCCACCCCAGCCGGUGCCACCGUCGCCACAGAGGCCUGAGACUGGGGAGGAGGGUCCGCCGGUCUAUGGUCCGCCGACCCCUACGUGGCUCCGUCCGAGAGCGCCCGCUUCUAUCCCAGCUGAGCCAGGGCAGGCGGAUGGUGUGGUGGCGCUUGCUUGCCUCAUGCGCACCCCGGUGGACCGUCAGUCAGAAAUCAAGGGCACGAUCUAUGGCAUCGAGGGGAUCGCUCCUAGAUUUCUUCGAGAGCAUCGACCGUGGGUGGAUCAUAAUCCCGCUGAGGAGGAUGAAGUCAGGACGUCGGGUGGUGGCGCUAGCGACGAGACCGGGACCUGGAGGAUAGUGGAUGAUGACGGGCGAUUCCCCUCCCUUAUCGACCUGUUUUUACGUCACGGGGGGUCGCUCGAGACUGUCCAAGAGCUCAUCCGGGGUGUCAAGGCGCGCACGGAGGAGGAGAUGGAAAACUGGGGCCCUGAUCGGAUCCGCAUUCGGGCCUCCACCGACCCAUCCGAGCCUAAUAUCUUUAUGGAUGAUCGGAAGGAGGCCGAAAAGUGGGAACAUCUCGAGGAGCUUCGCCUCUAGAUGAAGCACGUGGUGGGGCUCCUAUCUGACAUCGUCAACAGCGGGCUUGGUCUGGCUUAUUUCGUAAGUGUCUUUGGACCUUAGUUACCAUAGGACGUUUGAUUUUGUAUUGUUACUGUUCAACUGCUGGCUCGCAGGAUCUGAAAGAGACCUCCCGCAUAAAGUCGAGUUUUAUCCACGCGAUGAGGGGCGGCUGGGAGCAACUCCCUCUUCUCAAGGACCAACUCCUGGAGUCGCAGGAGAAGCUCCUCAAGGCCUACAAAGAGCUUUUGGCGCUCGAGGAGGAAAAAAGGAGAGGGAGGCCGCUCUGGCCGAAGCUCGGGAGGCCUCGAGGAAGGCGGUGGAAGAGGCCACGCGGCUGAGGGAGCGGACUAUGACGGUCGAGGAGGCUGCAUCCAAGGCCCAGGAAGAGGCCGUAUUCUAUAAGGAUGCAGCCGCCGAUCUUGACAAGGAAAAGGUCCUUAUCAAGGCUGACCUCGCCUCUGCCCGAGAGGCCUUUCAAGAGAUGAAGGUGGAGUGCGUGAAGGGCGAGAUCGCUCGGAGCGCCGCAGAGGAGGCCAAGAAGAAGGCCCUCGAGGAUCUCGAGGCGGGACGGACUCAAUCUCGCAGCCUCUCUGAUGAUGUUGAUCGUCUAAAGAGAGCGCUGCUGGAGAAGGAGGGAGCUAUCGCGCUGGCCAGCAAGGCGAUCGAGGGCUUGCGGUCGCCAACACCGACCUGGCCCGCUCUCACAGGGAGAUCGAGAGGACCAACACUGAUUUGGUUGGUCAGAACACUGCUCUGGAGGAGAAGAUUCAUGGUAGGCUUCUUUAUAGUUCUUUUUGCAAGGUACUUUUCGGUGUCGUCUAAUUUCCAUGCGUCGGUCUUCGCAGGGCUUAAGGGCGAGCUUCUGGCUGCUCAGGUCGAGGCCUGCUCCGCCAAGGAUCGGCUCGAGGGGGAGGUCGCACUGAAUGUUCGAUUAAGGACCGCGAUAAAUGACCUCUCGGCCUCUUGGGAGCUCGAACCUGCGGAUGAGUCGAAGGAGGAGGCUCGAGGCGACACGCUGGUCGAUUAGCUGUGCUACAUAGGCGCGAUGCUGAGGGAUCGAGUGCGGGACGAUCUUCAUACCGGGGUGUGUUGAUAUUUGGUAACGCAAUAAGGAAACGAUCCGCAAGCGCACGGAUAUCGGUGAGCAUUUCACCCGGGAGGUUAUCCAGAGUUAUCAUAUUUAUAUUUUUACCACUGGGAGAAAGGGUGCAUCUGACUAACCAAAUCUAUUGCUACUAUCCCUUUAGGCACAAAGAAUGUCUUUCGAUGUGACUGAUAAAUAGAGAAGACUGCAACCGUAGUCUCCUUCUAACCUUGGUAAGGAUGAUCUACUGUUCUAAUGGUGUUGAUGCAAAACAGAUCUGCAAACACAAAGGGCUAAUACCCGAUUCAAACGUUAAGGCGUGCCAGCCGAUUUAACCUUACUAUCGGCAAAGGUGAUAACUCGAAUACUUUAGUCCUGACAACAGCGAUGCGCCCGGAUGUCACGGCUAAGAGGUACUCACGCGGAACUUAAGGAUACGCCGAGCUUGAGUCGACGAAUUCCUAAGAACUCGUAACAAAAAGAAAAACGUAUGACGAAGUCGUCGAAAAGUAAAUACUAGAAUAUGAGUAAGAGCGUGUGUUUGAUUGAUUGAUAGAUGUCCUGAUUACAAGGUCUUAGGGCUUAUAUUUAUACCCUGCUCAAAGAGCUACGACCAGACACGAUUAGAAUUCGAAUUCCAAAUUACACGGAACCCGUAUACAAAACGAUACGAAUAACAUAAGGAAAUAAUAAAACCAUCCUUCGUGACAAACCGAAACUCCUCCACAUGACAACUGGUAGCUUCCGGACUCCUCCUUCGCGUCAUCGGCAAUCCCCUUGCCAUAGUCAUCGGCAGACCCUUUUACUUGGCCAUCGGCACUAUAUUACUGUCUGGGGACUUAGUCACAUUCAACCUUUCCCUCAUCGGCAACCAUCCUUACCAGCAACCCGCAUCGUACUGCCACCCUGUCCUGCCAUCCUGGACACGUGCCCAAAAAUGGUGUCAACACAUGCCCCCCAGUUUCGGAGUAUAAAACUAUUAAUGCUCCGAAAUUCUCUGCAGUAAUGAUGUCUUCUCCGCAAUUAAUGCUCCUAACCUGGUAACCGACAACCUCAAUCUGGGCAACUCUGAUCCUAAUCCUCCGCAGAUCCCUCGAAAUCCACAACUUCCCAAACGGGCAUCUCCCUUAGUCGUACAUCGGCAACAAUACCGUUACAAAGAUCUGCCAAUGCUCUGCCCAGGAUAUUCGCAAAAACGGUUACUUCCCCUCUAUCCGCCCAUCGGCAGGACGACCGUUAUAGAAUAUCACCGAUGGACCGACCAGGAGAUCGUGCACAGUAAAAUAUCUUUAGAUAAUGACCGCUUCCUGUCAAAUCACCUGCACAAUCCCUGGAUUAUCGUGCGAACAGUUACCAUAUCCACUUGAGUACCCUCGGGUUUCUCGGAUGCGGCAAAGAAAUAAGUCAGAUUUGCCCUUGUCCAUCUUGCCCUAUAAAUAGUUCCUUCUUGGGUACUCCUCCCCCAUUACAUCAUUCUGCCAUCCAACUUCACUUUUCCAGCGGCGGCGCCAUUCUCAAUCCUCAAGAUCUCCGACAAGCAUUCUUCUUCAUCAACUUCGGCGUCUUCCAGCGUCCCCUUCACGACAAGAUGGCCGUCGGCUUCGUCGUCCCUGAGGUCAGACUUCCAUCUCAUCUGCCGUACCUUUUUCCUGCAUUCCUGUUCAUCUGCGAUUUACCUUACCGAAUAUUUCCUUCUCCUUUUUCUUUGUAUCUUUAUUCCCCAAAACACCAGGAGUUAUCCAACAAAAUUGUCAUUCCUACCGAUCAACCACAUCUUCAAUGCCUCGGCCCUCUAGGGGAUCCAGAUCCAACUGACCUUAUCAACGCAGAAACCAACAGGAUUCCCUUUAGAGCUGAAAACUUUGCUCUAGAUCUAUGGAAGGACACCUUUCGCUCUUGGCCUAGCCCUACUGUAGGGUGGAAAGACUGGUUCUUGAGGGUCAGCAACUCUUAUGAAGUUCAAUGGGGUGAGAGGAAAUUAGCUCAAUGCAUUAGGCUGUCCAUUGCCGAUAUGCACAGGAACGAGUCAUUGCUGAUAGCCGCAUCUUACUUUUGGUCAGACACUCUCAACGCUUUUGUUUUUGGCCACGGCCCUGCUUCUCCUACCCUUGCCGAUGUAGCCAUGCUUACUGGGUUAGACAUAUCCUCUGCCGAUAGCACCCAUUUUUUUGAUACCGCCCCCAGUGCCAAAGUGGAGACUCGCGCUAUCGGCGGCUGGUCAGGGUACAUCCAGAAGUACCGCGGGAGAGGGCCUGUCACCAUAAAGGAACAAACCACUUUCCUGAACAUGUGGCUAGACAAGUUUGUAUUCUGUGGUCGAUCGGCAGGACCGACUUCUGUCUAUCUAUCGGCAGCAGAAAGACUGGCUAGCGGUGGUCAAUUUCCUCUCGGCCGUUAUUUGCUCGGCGCUGUUUAUCACCUUCUUCAUCAGAUAGUCCAGAAACUCCUGCUCGGCCAACCUAUCGGCAACUUGGGAGGUCCUUGGUGGUUUAUUAAUAUGUGGCUCAAUCUGCACCUGCACAAGCGCCUCGAUCUCAACUUGUUCUCUCAGCACUUCCCAAGAGAUAUAGCCGAGAACCAUGUGUUGGGUGAAGAGGAAUCGGCAACACGUGCCCCCCUGAACUUUGGCGAAGCUGUUAUAGUUUUACCCGGUUCAGGGAACACUCCGGAUCAGAUCGGCCGAUUCUUCGAAACGCUGUAUGAGGGUCUGGCCAGAGAUGAACGACCAUGGCUGGCUUAUGACGACCCAGAUAGCAUGCUCCCUCUGACCUUCAAUCCGUUCGACGAAGCUCUUGAUAGGGACAAUGAGGUGAUGAUGGCAAUCGUGACUCCCAGAGCCAUACCAGUGAACUUCUUCGGCAGCACGAAAACUUCUCCCCAAACUUAUGAAUUUUAUAAUCCAUCGGCAUUAGCUCGCCAGCUAGCUUUCGGCCAAUUGCCGAUCGCACUUCCUUAUGCCGAUGUAAUAAAGCCCAGAGAACCCAUCGCUAACCUCCUCGAGUGGACUCGAGUAGCCCAGCUACCACCAAAUGCCGAUACAGAUGUAGAUCUGUCAGAAUGGGUUCCAGCUGCCUUUAUCACUCAAGCAUACAAGCUAUGGUGGGCAGAAUGGAAGGAGAAUCUAUUCUGCAGAUCGGCCCUCUCAUACCGCGGCAUGAUCGACCCCGAAUACGAAGUCCCUGACGACACUGUAAGUAUUUUAAACCGAUGUCUCAUUUUCCAAUACUAUUCCCAUCGGUAACUUACCCCUGUAUUCUUUUUGCAGAUUGACAACACCCCCCCAUCGGUUAGCAGGAGUGGCAAGCCGAUCGACUUAUUCCCAUCAGGCCCGAUCUCCUCAAUCGGCCACAAUGCUCCCACUCUGGCUUCCAUCGUGCACCGGGGUGCGCGUCUCAAGAAAGUUACCACCAGGAAAACUCAGACAUCACCAACGGUAACUGCUUCCACUCUGGCGCAAGCUUUCAAGGCAAUCUGUUAAAACCCUUUUUAUUUAUGCUGACUAUCUUUAUAUCGGUUAUCUGUGCUCAUAAACUCUUUAUCGUUGUUGCAGCAAACUGGUGCAUCGGCAAAAGCCAAACGCCAAGGUGCCGAUCCCCCCCAGUCUAGCCAGCCAAAGAGGAAAGGCGCCCAAGGUGCUAAGACCGGAACAAAGCGUCAGAAAGUGGCAACUCCUCCUCCUCCUCCGGUGUCUCCAAUCCCGGUGGAAUCUUCCCCUUCUCCUCCAGAAGUCCAGGCACAGCAAGCACCAUCUCCUCAAUCAAUACAGGAAGCACCACAGAUGGAAGAACCUCAGCAAGAAGAACCUCAAACGGCAGGUACGUCAGCUGACGUAGGUGAACAAACAACUGGCCCGGCAGGUCCAGUUAUAUUAUCGGCGGUUUCCUCAAUUCAAACAACUGUUGUUCCUCUUCCGGGUAACAUGUCCCAACAAUACUCCUACCGAUAAACUUAUUUUCAUUUAUUCUUAUAAUCCCUCCUGUCCUCUUUCAGGCGAUAUCGUUCCAUCGGCAACAUUUGCCGAUCAACCUGCAGCUCCAUCAGCCUCUCUGAGUCAACGGCAGGAAAUCGCCUUGAAGCAAGUAAGUCAUCCACUUUUCCAUCGGUAUCAUCUGCCGGAGUUUUGACCAUAAAAUUGACCUAUUUCAUUUUCAUUUUUAGGAACAAGAUUCUCCCGACAGCUUGUUCUCCUUCGCUAUUGAUAUCUUCGAAGAAGAAGGCGAGGAAGCAAGCUCCUCUCGGGCAGUUGGAACUGUAUCGGCAGAAACCAGAGCUAGGCUGGAGGAGCUAUCGGCCAUACUUCAUCAAGACACAACUCAACUGGUCGACGAUUCUGACCCAGCCAAGGCCCUGUUCAAGACUCUUAGAGGCCAAAUUCCUGCCGAUGCCGAAGAAGCACUCUUCCACGCUGCACAUCUAGAAAGCCGCCAGCUACAGUAUCAGAGAGCUACUCGACGCCUUGCCGACAGAGCUGCUCAAAUCCAGCUCUCUGAGGAGAUGAUGAAAGAAAAACUCUUAGCCGAUGAGAAACAUAAGAACAUCGGCAUCUUAAAGUCUUCAGGUGAUGCACUGAAGCAGAAAAUGUCUGAUCUAUCGGCAAAAAGAGAAGCUCUGCUGGCUGAACUCAAGCAAGUAGAAGACGCCCUGUCCCAAGCCCAGCAAGAAGAUAGUCAACUGCCGGAGACCAUCAAGCAUCUUGAACAGGAACGAAACGUCCAUGGUCGUAAAGCGCUGCAACUGAAGAAGAAGCUGAAGCCAAUUGAAGGUUCUGCCGAUGACGAUAUCAAAGAGAUAGAGACAGCCAACCAGAUUCGGCUGCGCGCCAUAUCUGCAAUCCAAGCGCUGCUGAACAUCUGAAGCUUUCAUCGGCGACACACCUUUGUUUCUCCGUUUUUAGCUUUUAGUCUAGCCGAUAAGACUGUUAUCGGCAUCUUUUGAAACAUUAAGUCUGCCCUUGAACAUUUAAAUUCAGCCGAUAGGAGUGUUAUCGGCACUUAACCUUUUAUGCAUCGAUCCAUAUGCUGGGGUAGUACUUCUUCAAAUAUUUGCCAUUUAACGCUCUGGGAAAUUCAACUCCUUCGAGAGUUUCUAGAAUAUAGGCAUUACGAGGAGCUGAGCGUUUUAUCCGAUAAGGACCUUCCCAAUUAGGAGACCACUUCCCAAACUUUGAACUUUUAGUCCCGACUGGCAAAAUCAACUUCCAUACCAAAUCCCCAUCGGCAAACUCCUUAGCCUUCACCUUUUUAUCAUACCAUCUGGCAACUCUCUUCUUAUUUUCUUCUAUACUCAUUAAAGCCUUUAACCGAUGCCCUGCUAAAUCAUCUAACUCAUCGGUCAUUAAAAUGGCAUAAUCAUCGGCAGCCAAUUGAUCUUGAAAAGAUAAUCGCCUAGAUCCAGCCUUAAUCUCCCAAGGCAAAACUGCAUCAUGUCCAUACACCAAUUGAUAAGGUGACACCUUGGUUGAUCCAUGACAAGCCAUCCGAUAAGACCACAGUGCUUCAUUCAACAAUGUAUGCCACCGCCUAGGAUUUUCUUCAAUCUUUCGUUUAAUAAGCUUGAUAAUUCCCUUGUUAGACGCUUCGGCCUGCCCAUUGGCUUGAGCAUAGUAAGGAGAAGAAUUCAACACUUUAAUUCCCAUACCGAUUGCGAAUUCAUCGAACUCCCCCGACGUGAACAUGGUGCCCUGAUCGGUAGUAAUCGUUUGGGGAAUCCCAAAUCGGUAAAUAAUAUGCUCCUUCACAAAAUCAAUCAUAUUGGCCGAUGUGACUUUCUUCAAAGGAAUAGCUUCGACCCACUUGGUGAAAUAGUCAGUGGCAACUAGAAUGAAUUUAUGCCCUUUGCUAGAUGGUGGAUAAAUCUGGCCGAUCAGAUCGAUGGCCCAUCCCCGGAACGGCCAAGGUUUUAUUAUAGGAUUCAUAGCCGAUGCGGGUGCUCUCUGGAUAUUACCGAACUUUUGACAACCUUGACAUCCCUUGAAAUAUUUAAAACAAUCUUCAAGUAUGGUUGGCCAAAAAUAUCCAUUCCUUCGAAUCAUCCACUUCAUCUUAAAAGCUGACUGAUGCGCUCCACACACUCCUUCAUGGAUUUCUCCCAUCAAACUUCUGGCUUCAUCAUCACCCAAGCAUCGGAGAAGAAUUCCGUCGAUAGUUCGAUAAUACAAUUCAUUUUCAAGGAUCACAUACUUGGUUGCUUGAAAUCGAACCCGUCUUUCAACUUUUUUGGAUGGAUCUUUUAGAUAAUCAAUAAUUUCUUCCCUCCAAUCACCGGCACUGACUGCCGAUGUCGCAUUAAUCAUUGGCUGAUAUCCCGAGGCAUGCUGGGCCAACCGAUUAGCGUCUUCAUUAUGCAAUCGGGGAACAUGCUCCAAUCGGAAGUUCUUGAAUUCUUUUAACAGUUGCAUACUUCUCUCGAAAUAGGUUAUGAGAACUUCACUUCGGCAUUCAUAGCUUCCGACCAAUUGAUUUAUAACCAACAUGGAAUCUCCGAAUACUUCGACAGCAUCAGCACGAACUUCUCUUAACAACUCCAAUCCCUUGAUCAGAGCUUGAUACUCAGCCUGAUUAUUUGUUGAUGUAGCAACAAUCGGCAAGGAAAACUCAUACUUCCUCCCUUUAGGAGAAACUAAUACAAUACCGAUUCCUGCUCCUCGGUCACAGGUAGAUCCAUCAAAGAAGAGCGUCCAGGGUGCAAUUUCCAAAGUCUCCACUAGACCGCAAUGCUGAGUCACAAGAUCGGCCAUAACCUGCCCUUUGACCGCCUUAGUCGAUUCGUAACGCAAAUCGAACUCCGACAGCGCCAAAAUCCACUUACCGAUCCUACCACUCAUAAUCGGCAUAGAUAGCAUGUAUCGGACCACGUCAUCUUUGCAAACAACAGCAAUUCGGCCGACAACAGAUAAUGUCUUAGCUUGAUACAUGAGAAAUAUAAGCACAAGCACAGCUUCUCUAUGGCCGAAUACCUGGUUUCAGUAUCAAUCAACCUCCUGCUCAAAUAAUAAAUUACUCUCUCCUUCCCUUCAAAUUCUUGAACUAAAGCUGAACCGAUAACCGAUCCAUCGGUAGAUAAAUAUAAUUUGAAGGGUUUCCCUUGUUGGGGUGGAACUAAAACUGGAGGAUUCACUAGAUACUUUUUGAUCUCAUCCAGAGCCAACUGCUGUUCUUCUCCUCAAACAAACUCUUGAUCGGCUUUCAAUUUAAGAAGAGGACUGAAAGCACGAAUUCUCCCAGAUAAAUUCGAUAUAAAUCUUCUGAUAAAAUUCACCUUGCCGAUCAAGGAUUGGAGCUCGGUUUUAUUGGUAGGGGCCACUAUUUUAUUGAUGGCAUCAAUAGAUCUUCGACUAAUCUCAAUACCCCUCUGAUGUACCAUAAAACCAAGAAACUGUCCUGCCGAUACGCCAAAUGCACACUUGUUGGGAUUCAUCUUCAAUCCAUGCUUCCUUGUGCACUCCAACACUCUUCGUAAAUCGGCAAGAUGCUUUGAGAAAUCUCCAGACUUGACCACCACAUCAUCAAUAUAAAUUUCUACGAUCUUGCCGAUGAACUCAUGAAAUAUAAAAUUCAUAGCCCUUUGAUAAGUAGCACCGGCAUUCCUUAACCCAAAAGUCAUGACUAUCCAUUCAAAUAGUCCAACAUGACCAGGACACCUGAAUGCGGUUUUUGGAAUAUCCUCUUCUGCCAUGAAUAUUUGAUUGUAACCCGCAUUACCAUCCAUGAAGCUGAUGACCCGAUGGCCAGCCACAGCAUCAACCAGCAGAUCGGCGACAGGCAUUGGAUAUCCAUCCAUCGGCGUAGCUUUAUUGAGAUUCCUGAAAUCGAUGCAUACCCGAAGCUUCCCGUUCUUCUUGUAAAUCGGGACGACAUUGGAAAUCCAUUCAGCAUACCGACACUGCUGAAUAAACUUAGCUUCAAUAAGUUUAGUGAUUUCGGCCUUAAUAUCAGGUAGAAUGUUAGGAUUACAUCGGCGGGCUGGUUGCUGAUGUGGCCGAAAUCCAGACUUAAUGGGUAACCGGUGUUCAACAAUUGAUCGGUCUAAACCAGGCAUCUCUGUAUAAUCCCAAGCAAAGCAAUCUUUAUAUUCCUUUAACAAACUAGUUAAUUGCCGUUUACACUCAGGAUCUAGUUUAGCGCUAAUAAAAGUAGGCCUAGGCCUAUCACCACUACCUAUAUCUACUUCUACCAAAUCAUCGGCCGAUGUGAAUCCCUGGCCUAAUUUUCCAUCAUCGGCGAAUCUAUCCAUUAAAAACCAUCGUCAGAACCGACUGCUUGGAUCGGUGGAAUCUCAUAAUCGGCAACUUUGAGAAAAUCUUUCUCCCAAACUUCUCCUGAAAUGCACCUAGUCUUUUCAUAAGUAUCCGCUUCUGCUGAUGCGAUAACAUAAGAAGAAUCCCCUGGGACGAUCUCAAUCUUGUCACCUACCCACUGAACCAAGCACUGAUGCAUUGUAGAUGGGACACAACAAUUGGCAUGAAUCCAAUCUCUCCCCAAUAAUAAAUUGUAGGCACCUUUUCCGCUGAUCACGAAAAAGGUUGUCGGCAAGGUUUUGCUGCCGAUGGUCAACUCCGCACAUAUCGCCCCCUUGACCGGAGACACGUUUCCCUCGAAGUCCUUGAGCAUCAUAUCGGUCUUGGUCAAAUCUUGAUCCCCUUUCCCAAGCUUCCGAUAUACUGCAUAUGGCAUAAUAUUAAUAGCAGCCCCACCAUCAACUAGGAUCUUAGUCAUUGGCUGCCCAUCAACCCUUCCUUUGAGGAACAAAGCUUUAAGAUGCUGCCUCUCGUUAUCGGCAGGUUUCUCAAAGAUAGCCGUCAUUGGAUCCAGAGCCAACUGAGCUAUCUGAUCAGAAAAUCCCAACUCAUCGUCACUGGCCGGUGCAAGAAACUCCAUCGGCAACAUGAAUACCAUGUUGACGCCUGCCGAUGGACCUUCUUUCUUAGCGUCUGACGGCUGCCGACUCCCAGAAUUCUCUCCUUUAUUUAGCUCUUCCUGCCUUUCACGUUGCAAUCUCCUUUUCUGUGUCUUGGUUAAUCCUUGAGGGCACCAUGGAGGAAGUGGCCUUUGUCUUGCCGUCGGGCGUUGGUUCUCUCUUGACUCCAUGCGAUGCGUGUUAGUAUCCCUGCAAAAUAUGAAUUCAUCGGGAACCCGCGCAUCAGCCAUUCUUUCAAGCUCCUCUUGGUUCCUGGGAAAAUACUGGACACGGUCACCGAGCCGAUCGUGAACGCUAAGCCUGCCCCCCAGCCGAUCAUGAACCGCCGCCCUUCCUCUGAUCGGCCCAUUAAAUCGUCGUUCAUCAUCAUGAUAACGCCGAUCGUUCCUGUCGUACCGAUCAUAACCGUUGCAUUCAGGGCAGUCUCUGACAGUAGGAAGCUUGAUAUUUUCCUCCCAACAAUGGAUGAAGAAUGGGCAAUUCCAAUGAUCCCUGUGCCGAUUCCACUCCUGUCGGCGUCUCUCUUCUUCCCGUUGAUAAUCUUCCUGCUGGCGCCGGUACCGAUCUUCCCGUUGUUGCCAUCUCUCUCGAGGCCUUCUAUGAGUUAUGACAAUACCAGAUCGAGGAAUUCUUCCUGAGCUAGCCCCUUCCUGGACCAAGCCCUUACUUCUUGCAUCGGCGGUAGUAACUUGAUGCUGAGGAUCUACCGAUGCACUCUUCUCAACUGUCUCCGACGUUAAGACCUUAGCCUUCCCCUUAGCAUCCAACAUGUUCGUCGGGAAAGGAUGUUGGUCUAUCUUCAUCGGCUUCUGGGCUUUGGAACUAUCAAACUUGAUUCUCCCUGACUCUAUGGCCGAUUGCAGCUGUUGUCUGAAUACUUUACACUCAUUGGUAUCAUGUGAAGUUGCAUUAUGCCACUUGCAAUACCUCAUCCUCUUCAACUCUUCUGCCGACGGGAUCACGUGGUUAGGUGACAAUUUGAUUUGACCUUCUUGAAGUAGAAAGUCAAAUAUCCUAUCGGCCUUGGCGGUGUCAAAUGCAAACUUCUCUGGUUCCUUCUGCCCAAAAGGACAGGACAUCGGCUUCUUGUUUUUUACCCAUUCUGCCAAACCGAUUACUGGGUCUUCAUCGGAAUCUGAGCUUGUUGCUUCAUCAACGAAUGAGACUUUCUUAUUCCAUGCCCUCUUAGGCUCGAAAGGCUUGAUGUCUUGAUCGGAUAUCCUCUGCACCAAGUGACUUAAACUUUCAAACUCCUGAGAGGCAUACUUAUCCCUGAUGUGUGGCAACAAACCCUGGAAAGCCAAAUCGGCUAGCUGCCGAUCAUCCAGAACCAGGCUAUAGCAUUUAUUUUUGACCUCUCGUAUCCUCUGCACAAAUCCCUCAACCGACUCAUCAUUACGUUGCCUCAACUUGACCAAGUCGGUGAUCUUCUUCUCAUGAACCCCCGAGAAGAAGUAUCUGUGGAAUUGCUUCUCUAGAUCGGCCCAAGUAAUUACUGAAUUGGGAGGCAACGAUAUGAACCAAGUAAAGGCCGAUCCAGACAAUGAUGAUGAAAAUAGACGAACUCUUAAUUCGUCCCUGUUACCAGCUUCUCCACAUUGAAUAAUGAACCUGUUGACAUGCUCCAUGGUUGACGUGUCGUCCUGUCCGGAAAACUUUGUAAAAUCCGGUACCUUGUACCGAUGUGGUAGCGGGAUCAAAUCAUACGCUGGAGGAUACGGUGUCCGGUAAGAAUAAGUGUUGACUUUGGGUUUUAUCCCAAAUUGUUCCUUCAUUACUUCAGCAAUCUUAUCGGCCCAAUAAGCAUCGGCAUCUUGCCGAUGAGGCAGCUGCGGAUCCGGCACUUGGUGGCGAACCUCCACGUGUCUGUUUGGGACCUGACCUGUAUGGAACAUCGUAUUGGUCACCUGUCCUCCAAUCUGCGGACUACCAAACUGCUGUCCACCGACUGGCUGUCCUCCGAGUUGCUGUCCAAAAUUUAUUGGCUGGUUGGACAUUCCCUGACCUUGGAACCCGGGAUAAACCUGCCCUUGCUGGAACCCCGUAGUCUGAUAACCCUGCUGGGGCGACUGUGGAAAGGCUUGCUGUCCAAGCCAUCCAUUAUUAGCGUUCAUCGGCAUAGGUGCUGCCGAUGAUUGGUAAUUGGGUAUUGUCGUUGAAUUGACAUACCCCGACUGGGCCAUAGGCCUCUGUUGCAUCAGCAUUGACUCUGCCGAUGCGUUGGGCAUCUGGAACAUUGAAUCUUGAGGAUUUCCAGUGUGAGGCCUUGCAGUAGUAGUUGUGGUAUACCGAGGACUCUGGUUCACCGGCACAUUGGAAGGUACCGACGUCAUAGGAGUUUUGCCCCUCAUGUCAGUUGUCUGUGAUGUUCCCGGCGUCAACUCUGGAGGCAUACCAUAACCCCACCAAUUGGGGGGAAGAUUUAACCCUGACAUUGCCGAUGCCAACAUAUCUGUCGUCAGUUUAUGCUGCCCAACUGAAAUUUGGGGGUUGGUUGCCAUCGGCAUAGAUAGUGCACCGGUAGUCCCCAAUGUACUUGGAGGGACGGCAGACUGUGCACUUGCACUCGUCAAGGCAGCCGAUGGAGCCGUGACCUCUGGUGCCGUGGGUUGAUGAUGGGAAGGGCCCACAUAAUCCGGCGGGAUUUGUCCUUCCUUGAAAGUUCUUGCCACGGCGUUGAACACCGUGUUAGACAGUACACCAGCUUGGUUGAUCAGCGCUCGAUUGAUGGCAUUGUCAACCAUGUCUUGAAGCUUGCCAGGAUUAGCGUCGAAGGUGACCUGCCGUGGUGCCGGCAGUGCAUCUUUCUGGACCACUUCGCCGCUUCUGUUUAUGCUGAAAGACUUCAGGCACUGCUGCUUGAACUCUUCCAUGGCUUGGGCAAUAGCUUGCUUCUGCUCAUCCUUAAGGUUAGCUUCCGUCACGGGGAUGACGUUGUCUUGAUCGAGGUCAGAGAUCGACAUGCUGAUCUUGAUCUUGAAUCUGUCCCACCAGGCGUGCCAAAAGAUGUGUUGAUGCAAAACAGAUCUGCAAACACAAAGGGCUAAUACCCGAUUCAAACGUUAAGGCGUGCCAGCCGAUUUAACCUUACUAUCGGCAAAGGUGAUAACUCGAAUACUUUAGUCCUGACAACAGCGAUGCGCCCGGAUGUCACGGCUAAGAGGUACUCACGCGGAACUUAAGGAUACGCCGAGCUUGAGUCGACGAAUUCCUAAGAACUCGUAACAAAAAGAAAAACGUAUGACGAAGUCGUCGAAAAGUAAAUACUAGAAUAUGAGUAAGAGCGUGUGUUUGAUUGAUUGAUAGAUGUCCUGAUUACAAGGUCUUAGGGCUUAUAUUUAUACCCUGCUCAAAGAGCUACGACCAGACACGAUUAGAAUUCGAAUUCCAAAUUACACGGAACCCGUAUACAAAACGAUACGAAUAACAUAAGGAAAUAAUAAAACCAUCCUUCGUGACAAACCGAAACUCCUCCACAUGACAACUGGCAGCUUCCGGACUCCUCCUUCGCGUCAUCGGCAAUCCCCUUGCCAUAGUCAUCGGCAGACCCUUUUACUUGGUCAUCGGCACUAUAUUACUGUCUGGGGACUUAGUCACAUUCAACCUUUCCCUCAUCGGCAACCAUCCUUACCAGCAACCCGCAUCGUACUGCCACCCUGUCCUGCCAUCCUGGACACGUGCCCAAAAAUGGUGUCAACAAAUGGGGAGGCUAACAGAAUCUAGACAACACAAAGGAUGUUCGACCCGCACCUAUAAACCCUAUCCUUCCUGCUAACGAGAUGUGAUCUACAAAGGUAGCUCGGAAUUGUCACGUUCCUCACUACUACCACGGUCCAGCUAGUCAGGGAAUAUCUAUGAGUACCCCAGCCUAAACACCACGUUUACGCCAGCAAUGAUUACUCUAAACUCUACGCGAAGAGAUUAAAGUAAACUCAUAAACCAUAAGAACAAUAAAACAAGAACUUACUAGAAUUUAGAAGUCGAAAUACUGAAGAAUCCUAGGAGCAAUCUUCGGGUUAGGAGAACUUGAUCCCGCAGGUACAAGCUUGGAGUAGACACCGACAGGCCGGGCUUCCUCCAAUCUACACCUCCACUCUAUCUCUCUCAAUCUAGUAGAAACUAGAAGAUCUAUUUCUACCUUACAUUGGUUGCUAAGCCUAAAAAGAAAUAUUAAUUAGAGAAGAGGUUUUCCUUCGAGGGCACCCCUCAGUCUCUAUGAUAAUUUCUUCAUGUCUUCUCCAGGGGCCAGGGGGUCUCCUUAUAUAGUCCUCCCCUUCUAUGCGUUUUUGGGUCGAUAGGCGAUGUGGUACUAUGUUAUUCUUGAUCCAAUAGGUCGGUGGAAUAUCCUGAGCGAAGAGAGUCCUGAAAGCAAUCCAACAGGGGGCGGGCGCCCAGGUCACCAGGGCGGGCGCCCUAGGCCUGGCCCCUUUCGGCCUCCGUCUUCUUCCCGUGCCUUCUGGAGUCUUCUAGAUGGUAGAAAAUCGCGCGGUGCGUUCAUAUCUCUAUGUAAUCCUGACAUGUGGGCCUUUCUUCCUUAUUUCCUGAUAACCCCCUGCAGAAAUAGACAAACACCAAAACUCGUGGAAUUCUGUCAGAUAAAACCCUAAGUCUAGAUGUUGAUUUCAUUUAGAUCCUUUUCUUUGUUUAUUUAAUAAUUAAAUUUGAUACUUAAGGACCGUCAACAAACUCUCCCAAGCUUACCUCUUGCUCGUCCCUGAGCAAGGAUAGACUUUGCUAUGGAUCAGAAGUUGUUGCAAUAUCUUAAAAAUUUGACGGUACACAUGCUUUUAAAUAAGAUCUCAUCUCUGAGUUAGAGUAAACUGUCAAGAAUUAAAACUUACUUACUUUACCUCUCACCAUGGGACUUGUAACCGUCACUUCUGUCUUGAGUAGUUAAAAGAUAGAACAGUGUAGCGAACUGCCAUGUCUCUUAUUCUUGAUCAGCUAUAGCUCUGGGGUUUUUGCAGAUUUUCAAAUAAAACUCAGAGAUUCCUUGUAUGAUUCUCUCAUAUCUCUCUUUUGUGGUAUUUCUGGAUCCUUACCAAGGCAUUGAUGGUAUAUGCCUUCUCUCAAGAUAUGUGGUAUUUGUGGUAUAAGGCAUAGUGACAUUGCCUUCUCUCUCACCCUACUCUAAUAAGACUUGAUAUCCGGAGCUCAUAGGUGGGAGACAGUUAAUACAUACUUAUAAGACAUUUAUUGCAUAGUCAAACCAUGGAUCCAGAGAAACAAAUCAAUAAGCCAAAUCAAGAUGUGCAUGUGUGGCGAAUGAAUGGUGUAUGGUGAUGAUGGUAAUAACAAUGGUGAAAGUCUAAUUCUACUUUUGCUCUUUUGAGGGGAUACAUACCUUCCUUGCUUUUUGAAACUUUAUGAGGAGAAUGAAAUGCUCUUCUUUUUCUUUCCUCUCAGGUGGGUAUCUUGUACCCCUAAUUCUACUGUCGGACACUUGUCCAUUUUUACCUCUCGUCUCACUUUUUCUUUCUUUUGAGGUUCCGGGCACUUGCCCCUUUUUAUUUCCUCGUUUAUAUAUAUAUAUAUUUUUUCUUCUCUUUUCUUUCUUUUUUUUUCAGAGCACUCAUCUCUUGAGAUAAUAUAGCAAGUGGUAGUAACCAAAAUAUUUGGAGCAUUUAUUUCAUAGGGAAUAACAGGGAUAGGAAAAUGUUUUUUGACUAUUCUCUCCCGGAUUAGGAGUAGAAUAUUUUUGGGUGAUUCUGGAGAUGGAAAUGGAUGGAUAUAUGUGGAUGGUACUUCCGGAGUAGAAGUAGCAUAUAUGAGUGAACGUGCAAGUGAAUCUUGAUUUAACCACAUGACAAGCUCCUAAGGGUCUACACAGCUUGACCACACUCUAUGCUCAUAAGCAGUAAAUAGUAAAUGUGUGUCUCAAAGUCUAGCAAGCAUGUAUAUAUGGCUGUGGUAGGAAUUUAAACUCUCAUCAUACAGGAACUCAUCAUGUAAUAUUUUAAAGAUUUUUCAAGAUAAGUUUUUCCAGAAUUCUAGCAUCUCUAGGAACAGAUAAACAGCAGCUCAACCUUCCCAUAUCAUAUCCGUUAACAACUUGGAUUUCAGAUCAAGUUUUCAUCCCACAAGUGUAGAUCUAGAGCAAGCUUUGAAUUAUAACAGUUAUGUCUAAACUUGAGAGGGAACUUCAAAAUUGCAAAUUAGGCAGAGCAACUAUUCAUCAUAUCCAUGCUAGAGUUUUAUUAUUAAGAUUCAGAUUAGCAUAGCCACUUUAUUUAUUUAUUAAACAUACUAAGCAAAAGAUAUAUAUAAGCAGAAAAUCUUUAUUUGGUUUUUCAUAGUUUAUGUAUUUUAAUAUUCUAACAUAAUAUAAGUAUAAAGAUAGAUAGAAAUACUUAGCGAGAAUAAUGGGGGUGCUUUCCCCCAAGCUGAAUUUUGACGUAAUUUCUCUUGAUGUAGCUAGCAGGUGGCAGAGGUGUAUUUGAAAGUCAGCAGCAUUCUGACAGCGAUUAGAAUGUCCUCCGUCUGCUAGUCUUCUUGAUUCUUAAAUUCUGUGGAGCUCAAAUAGACAACAAAGCUUGUGGAACUAAUUAAGUGUUAGCAUAAAUAUCUAUCCUUCAUCAUGUUGAGCUUCCUUAAUAAAUAUUAUUUAUUAAGCAGGAUCAUACACUUAUUAUUAUUAUAUAUAUAUAUUUUUAUAUAUAUAUAUAUAUUUAUUGUAAGAUGAAAACUUAUUUAUUUUAUUUUUAUGCCACCACAGUGAAUGUACUUAUGGGUUUUAUGCCAUGAGCAUACUCACAUAAGGCUUACUAUUUUUUAACAUUUUUAUUUUCUUUUCAAGAUAGCAUGAACCUGAUUAACUAAGCAAAUUAUAAUUGAAUAAUUGAAAGGAAAGGGUAACUACCAAGUUUACCUCUUGGCAAGGCGUUCGGUAUUUUUAUGUCCUCCGAACGGGACUCUCUGUUUUCUCAGUCGUCCUGGGAUUCGCUAGGUGGCGUAGUCGGUGAUUUCGAUGACGCCUCUCUUCGUGUAUAACUAUCUUCUCCCUCCACACCUGACUCGGUGCUACGGUCUCCUCAGGACAGUUCUGUUCAAGCUGUAUGACUUCAGUCCUUAUCACUUUUCCUUCGUAGUCUACCCAUCCGUUCUUGAUGAUUUGCCUCCUCUUGGUUGCGGUUGCGUCGUCUUCUUGUCCUGACCUACUUAGAUUCUUCAACUAUAUAGUUAUGGUCAGUAAAAUAGUUGCGUACCUUCUCAGAGGGGAAGUACAUGUGGACUUCUCCGGUUCCAAUAUAGAUGAUUGCUUUGAUAGUGUUGAGGAACGGUCUUCCAAGGAUGGUGGGUGGAUCAUACUCGUCUUCUCCCAUGUCAAUGACCUGAAAAUCAUCUGGAGCUGAAUAUAUUGGUUGUAGGGACAUGGUUCCAUGUAGGAGCGGAUAAGUGACUGUGGCCAUUAUGUUGUCGUUAGAUCCAGUGUCGUAGAGUGUCUUCUGAAAAGAGUAUCCAUUGAUUGUGCACUCGAUGCUUGGAACACCAUGGUCGUCCUUCUUGAUCAAGAAAGGUGACUUGAGUCGACGAUGUUGACCUCUUCCGACAAGGAUCCAAUGUUUUAAGUCUUCUGGACAAGACUUUCCACCAUCUUCAUCCUUUAGGUGCAUCAUUUGAUUAGGUGUGGACCUUGACGUCUGUACCUCUUGAUACAGUGUCACCCAUGUUCUUCUUUGCCCAGCAGUUCGAAGUAUGGUGUUGGCAAUAUCCUGCUCAGUGUGUUUGUGCUCAUAGAUCUAGGUCCUUCACUUGGUGGAGUCUAGGAGUUGUAAAACUCCUCCAUGUUUUGCUUGAAGUGUACCUGUUCAUAGAGACAAGGCAGAGAUCAAGUGCAUGGGCUCUGUUGGUGGAAAACACCAACAGAACCAAAAGUGUAUUUGUUCUUCUCUAACCUUAAGCAUAGUGAGCAAGAAAAAUUUGAUGGAUAAUAAGAUCAUGAGUGUAGUAUUUGAAACAUUUGUCAGAUCAGAUGGCUCAACCUAAUGGAAAGAUAAUCUAUCUAUAUUUAUGUUUUGUUUAUAUCUUUCAAAUAUUGAAUGUGCAACAUAUUAGCUUAUAUGUUUAGAAGCGUGGGAUCACGAAGGUAGUACUAAGAACAAAGAUUAAAGGACUAAACAUGUUGAAUUAAUUGAGUUGGUUAAUCUGGAGUUAUAAAUCAUACAUGUUUGUCUCUUUAUUUAUGUGAAUGCUAGAACCAAGGAGAAGCUUAUAAAAGCGAUAGUCAAGUACCUUAAGGUGUUACCUUACUUGCAGAGUGUGGGGGUAUAAACCCCUAUACCCUCAUGGGCCUAUAUGGGCCGCACCAUCAGAGGUGGCUCGACCCACAGGAUGAAGACGUGCGGCGCACGACUGGUCGGCGUGCACCGCAAGGCUACAAGAUAUUGUACCAAAUAGGAUACUUUGCUUGUAACUCUGUCCCUUCAGGAUAUAUAAGGAGGGGCAGGGGUCCCCUAGAGGACAGAUCAUACAUCAUAUUCUCUCAACACAAAUCAAUACAACCAGACACAGGACGUAGGUAUUACGCCAACUCGGCGGCCGAACCUGGAUAAAAAGCUUGUCCGUGUCUUGCGUCACCAUCGAGUUCGUAGUUUGCGCACCGUCUACCGAUAAACUACUACCGUGGGUAUACCCCAAGGUAGACUGCCGACCAGCUUUCGUCGACAGUGGCGCGCCAGGUAGGGGGUGUGCGUACAGCUCUCCCGACGAACAAGAUGGCCAUCAUCCCCGACUUCGCGGCCAUGGCGGGCGACUUCACAUUCACUGUCAGCUUCAACAACUUCACCGCCAUGACCACGGAGGAGGUGUAGAUCCGAUCUGCGCCAACCACUUCUUCAUCAACGACGGCGGCGACUUCAACCACGCUGGCUACGACUCUGACUACUCCAGCAACGUCUCCGACCACGCCGACAAUGCGUCACCCGCUUCCCUGCUACAAAGGGAGGCAGAUCGACAACACCGACCUGCUCGGGCCAUUGACCAAAUUGUUUGGCCUACUUGCUCUGACCACCGGUCGCAAUAAUCGCCGCGAAGAAAGACGCUAUGACAACAGCGACCACCGUCAUGACAAGUCGAAAAGCUCGAAGGCCGGACAAUUUUGUCGUCACCGACUAGACUUUCGUCCAAAGAUAAGUACACUUCUAAUAUUUUAUUUAUUUUUGGCAUAAUAUUUUUAAUAUUAUUAUUCUUUAAAACAACUUUUUUAGCCGACUAGUUUUUUCUCCUACACGAGCUUUCCAGAGCCGGUACUGUCUCCGACUCCUCCCUACACGUGCACGAGAUCCGCCCUCUGCGUUCCGGGUGGUCGGUAGUAGCUCUCUGACGUGGCUGACAAUCCUACGCGUGCCUAGGUUCCGCACCUCAUGCUGAUUGUUGGCUAGACCAGAGCUGGUACAAGCUCUAGGACGAAUUAACUACUCGUGGUAAUUUUAUAACAAAAAAUCUAAAACUUAUUUUAGUACUGAUUUUUUAUCUAAAGGUUAUUUAUACAUCAUGUACUACCAAUUCUUUAUAUUUAUUUUUCAGGAGUUUGGCCCAGUCGACAAGCUACGCUCGGGGACUCGUCGACUAUUCCCUACGCUGUGCCCGGGGACUGCUCCGACCACCGAGCACGUUUACGUUCCCAACCACGCUCGGGGACUUGUCGACUACUCUCUAUGCUGUGCUCGAAGACUGUGCCGACCACCGAGCACGUUUACGUUCCCAACCACGAUCGAGAACUUGUCCACCGGUCCCUACGCCGUGCUCGGGGACUGUGCUGACCACCGAGCAUUAUACGCUCGGGGACUGGUCGACCAGCUCACCAAUUUGAGAGUUUGGGGUUUGCACCGACCACCGAGCACUAUACGCUCGGGGACUGGUCGACCAGCCCACCAAUUUGAGGAUUCGGGGACUGUACCGACCACCGAGCGUUAUAUGCUCGGGGACUGGUCGAUUAGUCUAUUCAAUUGCAGACGAGCAUGAUAUGCUCGGGGACUGGAGAAUUUUAAUUUUUCAGACCUUGCUACAAGGCUCAUACUUUGCCUUCCAGCAAGCUCGGGGACUACAUUGGUACGAUGUAUCUGGCGAUGCAUCCCAGUUUCAAAACUACUUUGGGGAAUUCUCUUUUGACCCUGGCACCACAUGCCUACGUCACCUACUACCAGACUCGGGGACUAAGUGGGCACACUUCACCUUGCGGUGAAUAUGUUUGCUUUUUUGAGGUCUAUACUUUUCAAAAAAGUAAAGUGGGCACACUUCACCAGGAAAGAAAUCUUUUUUAAUUAAGAGCACCAUGCAUUCUUCGAACAACCUGCUUCUUCGAUGUCAAUGUUGAUCAACUGUCUUUUGAGUUGGUUAAUCUGGAGUUAUAAAUCAUACAUGUUUGUCUCUUUAUUUAUGUGAAUGCUAGAACCAAGGAGAAGCUUAUAAAAGCGAUAGUCAAGUACCUUAAGGUGUUACCUUACUUGCAGAGUGUGGGGGUAUAAACCCCUAUACCCUCAUGGGCCUAUAUGGGCCGCACCAUCAGAGGUGGCUCGGCCCACAGGAUGAAGACGUGCGGCGCACGACUGGUCGGCGUGCACCGCAAGGCUACAAGAUAUUGUACCAAAUAGGAUACUUUGCUUGUAACUCUGUCCCUUCAGGAUAUAUAAGGAGGGGCAGGGGUCCCCUAGAGGACAGAUCAUACAUCAUAUUCUCUCAACACAAAUCAAUACAACCAGACACAGGACGUAGGUAUUACGCCAACUCGGCGGCCGAACCUGGAUAAAAAGCUUGUCCGUGUCUUGCGUCACCAUCGAGUUCGUAGUUUGCGCACCGUCUACCGAUAAACUACUACCGUGGGUAUACCCCAAGGUAGACUGCCGACCAGCUUUCGUCGACAGUGGCGCGCCAGGUAGGGGGUGUGCGUACAGCUCUCCCGACGAACAAGAUGGCCAUCAUCCCCGACUUCGCGGCCAUGGCGGGCGACUUCACAUUCACUGUCAGCUUCAACAACUUCACCGCCAUGACCACGGAGGAGGUGUAGAUCCGAUCUGCGCCAACCACUUCUUCAUCAACGACGGCGGCGGCUUCAACCACGCUGGCUACGACUCUGACUACUCCAGCAACGUCUCCGACCACGCCGACAAUGCGUCACCCGCUUCCCUGCUACAAAGGGAGGCAGAUCGACAACACCGACCUGCUCGGGCCAUUGACCAAAUUGUUUGGCCUACUUGCUCUGACCACCGGUCGCAAUAAUCGCCGCGAAGAAAGACGCUAUGACAACAGCGACCACCGUCAUGACAAGUCGAAAAGCUCGAAGGCCGGACAAUUUUGUCGUCACCGACUAGACUUUCGUCCAAAGAUAAGUACACUUCUAAUAUUUUAUUUAUUUUUGGCAUAAUAUUUUUAAUAUUAUUAUUCUUUAAAACAACUUUUUUAGCCGACUAGUUUUUUCUCCUACACGAGCUUUCCAGAGCCGGUACUGUCUCCGACUCCUCCCUACACGUGCACGAGAUCCGCCCUCUGCGUUCCGGGUGGUCGGUAGUAGCUCUCUGACGUGGCUGACAAUCCUACGCGUGCCUAGGUUCCGCACCUCAUGCUGAUUGUUGGCUAGACCAGAGCUGGUACAAGCUCUAGGACGAAUUAACUACUCGUGGUAAUUUUAUAACAAAAAAUCUAAAACUUAUUUUAGUACUGAUUUUUUAUCUAAAGGUUAUUUAUACAUCAUGUACUACCAAUUCUUUAUAUUUAUUUUUCAGGAGUUUGGCCCAGUCGACAAGCUACGCUCGGGGACUCGUCGACUAUUCCCUACGCUGUGCCCGGGGACUGCUCCGACCACCGAGCACGUUUACGUUCCCAACCACGCUCGGGGACUUGUCGACUACUCUCUAUGCUGUGCUCGAAGACUGUGCCGACCACCGAGCACGUUUACGUUCCCAACCACGAUCGGGAACUUGUCCACCGGUCCCUACGCCGUGCUCGGGGACUGUGCCGACCACCGAGCAUUAUACGCUCGGGGACUGGUCGACCAGCUCACCAAUUUGAGAGUUUGGGGUUUGCACCGACCACCGAGCACUAUACGCUCGGGGACUGGUCGACCAGCCCACCAAUUUGAGGAUUCGGGGACUGUACCGACCACCGAGCGUUAUAUGCUCGGGGACUGGUCGAUUAGUCUAUUCAAUUGCAGACGAGCAUGAUAUGCUCGGGGACUGGAGAAUUUUAAUUUUUCAGACCUUGCUACAAGGCUCAUACUUUGCCUUCCAGCAAGCUCGGGGACUACAUUGGUACGAUGUAUCUGGCGAUGCAUCCCAGUUUCAAAACUACUUUGGGGAAUUCUCUUUUGACCCUGGCACCACAUGCCUACGUCACCUACUACCAGACUCGGGGACUAAGUGGGCACACUUCACCUUGCGGUGAAUAUGUUUGCUUUUUUGAGGUCUAUACUUUUCAAAAAAGUAAAGUGGGCACACUUCACCAGGAAAGAAAUCUUUUUUAAUUAAGAGCACCAUGCAUUCUUCGAACAACCUGCUUCUUCGAUGUCAAUGUUGAUCAACUGUCUUUUGAGUUGGUCAAAAUACCGUUGCAACUGUUUGGGCGACUUUCCUGCUUAUCGAAGACGUCAAGCCUCACUAAUCGAAGAAGCUCAAGACGGCAUGUUACAUCACAAUACAUGGUGCUCGGGGACUAGCUGUGGGGGUAUAAACCCCUAUACCCUCAUGGGCCUAUAUGGGCCGCACCAUCAGAGGUGGCUCGGCCCACAGGAUGAAGACGUGCGGCGCACGACUGGUCGGCGUGCACCGCAAGGCUACAAGAUAUUGUACCAAAUAGGAUACUUUGCUUGUAACUCUGUCCCUUCAGGAUAUAUAAGGAGGGGCAGGGGUCCCCUAGAGGACAGAUCAUACAUCAUAUUCUCUCAACACAAAUCAAUACAACCAGACACAGGACGUAGGUAUUACGCCAACUCGGCGGCCGAACCUGGAUAAAAAGCUUGUCCGUGUCUUGCGUCACCAUCGAGUUCGUAGUUUGCGCACCGUCUACCGAUAAACUACUACCGUGGGUAUACCCCAAGGUAGACUGCCGACCAGCUUUCGUCGACAGUGGCGCGCCAGGUAGGGGGUGUGCGUACAGCUCUCCCGACGAACAAGAUGGCCAUCAUCCCCGACUUCGCGGCCAUGGCGGGCGACUUCACAUUCACUGUCAGCUUCAACAACUUCACCGCCAUGACCACGGAGGAGGUGUAGAUCCGAUCUGCGCCAACCACUUCUUCAUCAACGACGGCGGCGGCUUCAACCACGCUGGCUACGACUCCGACUACUCCAGCAACGUCUCCGACCACGCCGACAAUGCGUCACCCGCUUCCCUGCUACAAAGGGAGGCAGAUCGACAACACCGACCUGCUCGGGCCAUUGACCAAAUUGUUUGGCCUACUUGCUCUGACCACCGGUCGCAAUAAUCGCCGCGAAGAAAGACGCUAUGACAACAGCGACCACCGUCAUGACAAGUCGAAAAGCUCGAAGGCCGGACAAUUUUGUCGUCACCGACUAGACUUUCGUCCAAAGAUAAGUACACUUCUAAUAUUUUAUUUAUUUUUGGCAUAAUAUUUUUAAUAUUAUUAUUCUUUAAAACAACUUUUUUAGCCGACUAGUUUUUUCUCCUACACGAGCUUUCCAGAGCCGGUACUGUCUCCGACUCCUCCCUACACGUGCACGAGAUCCGCCCUCUGCGUUCCGGGUGGUCGGUAGUAGCUCUCUGACGUGGCUGACAAUCCUACGCGUGCCUAGGUUCCGCACCUCAUGCUGAUUGUUGGCUAGACCAGAGCUGGUACAAGCUCUAGGACGAAUUAACUACUCGUGGUAAUUUUAUAACAAAAAAUCUAAAACUUAUUUUAGUACUGAUUUUUUAUCUAAAGGUUAUUUAUACAUCAUGUACUACCAAUUCUUUAUAUUUAUUUUUCAGGAGUUUGGCCCAGUCGACAAGCUACGCUCGGGGACUCGUCGACUAUUCCCUACGCUGUGCCCGGGGACUGCUCCGACCACCGAGCACGUUUACGUUCCCAACCACGCUCGGGGACUUGUCGACUACUCUCUAUGCUGUGCUCGAAGACUGUGCCGACCACCGAGCACGUUUACGUUCCCAACCACGAUCGGGAACUUGUCCACCGGUCCCUACGCCGUGCUCGGGGACUGUGCCGACCACCGAGCAUUAUACGCUCGGGGACUGGUCGACCAGCUCACCAAUUUGAGAGUUUGGGGUUUGCACCGACCACCGAGCACUAUACGCUCGGGGACUGGUCGACCAGCCCACCAAUUUGAGGAUUCGGGGACUGUACCGACCACCGAGCGUUAUAUGCUCGGGGACUGGUCGAUUAGUCUAUUCAAUUGCAGACGAGCAUGAUAUGCUCGGGGACUGGAGAAUUUUAAUUUUUCAGACCUUGCUACAAGGCUCAUACUUUGCCUUCCAGCAAGCUCGGGGACUACAUUGGUACGAUGUAUCUGGCGAUGCAUCCCAGUUUCAAAACUACUUUGGGGAAUUCUCUUUUGACCCUGGCACCACAUGCCUACGUCACCUACUACCAGACUCGGGGACUAAGUGGGCACACUUCACCUUGCGGUGAAUAUGUUUGCUUUUUUGAGGUCUAUACUUUUCAAAAAAGUAAAGUGGGCACACUUCACCAGGAAAGAAAUCUUUUUUAAUUAAGAGCACCAUGCAUUCUUCGAACAACCUGCUUCUUCGAUGUCAAUGUUGAUCAACUGUCUUUUGAGUUGGUCAAAAUACCGUUGCAACUGUUUGGGCGACUUUCCUGCUUAUCGAAGACGUCAAGCCUCACUAAUCGAAGAAGCUCAAGACGGCAUGUUACAUCACAAUACAUGGUGCUCGGGGACUAGCUGUGGGGGUAUAAACCCCUAUACCCUCAUGGGCCUAUAUGGGCCGCACCAUCAGAGGUGGCUCGGCCCACAGGAUGAAGACGUGCGGCGCACGACUGGUCGGCGUGCACCGCAAGGCUACAAGAUAUUGUACCAAAUAGGAUACUUUGCUUGUAACUCUGUCCCUUCAGGAUAUAUAAGGAGGGGCAGGGGUCCCCUAGAGGACAGAUCAUACAUCAUAUUCUCUCAACACAAAUCAAUACAACCAGACACAGGACGUAGGUAUUACGCCAACUCGGCGGCCGAACCUGGAUAAAAAGCUUGUCCGUGUCUUGCGUCACCAUCGAGUUCGUAGUUUGCGCACCGUCUACCGAUAAACUACUACCGUGGGUAUACCCCAAGGUAGACUGCCGACCAGCUUUCGUCGACAGUGGCGCGCCAGGUAGGGGGUGUGCGUACAGCUCUCCCGACGAACAAGAUGGCCAUCAUCCCCGACUUCGCGGCCAUGGCGGGCGACUUCACAUUCACUGUCAGCUUCAACAACUUCACCGCCAUGACCACGGAGGAGGUGUAGAUCCGAUCUGCGCCAACCACUUCUUCAUCAAUGACGGCGGCGGCUUCAACCACGCUGGCUACGACUCCGACUACUCCAGCAACGUCUCCGACCACGCCGACAAUGCGUCACCCGCUUCCCUGCUACAAAGGGAGGCAGAUCGACAACACCGACCUGCUCGGGCCAUUGACCAAAUUGUUUGGCCUACUUGCUCUGACCACCGGUCGCAAUAAUCGCCGCGAAGAAAGACGCUAUGACAACAGCGACCACCGUCAUGACAAGUCGAAAAGCUCGAAGGCCGGACAAUUUUGUCGUCACCGACUAGACUUUCGUCCAAAGAUAAGUACACUUCUAAUAUUUUAUUUAUUUUUGGCAUAAUAUUUUUAAUAUUAUUAUUCUUUAAAACAACUUUUUUAGCCGACUAGUUUUUUCUCCUACACGAGCUUUCCAGAGCCGGUACUGUCUCCGACUCCUCCCUACACGUGCACGAGAUCCGCCCUCUGCGUUCCGGGUGGUCGGUAGUAGCUCUCUGACGUGGCUGACAAUCCUACGCGUGCCUAGGUUCCGCACCUCAUGCUGAUUGUUGGCUAGACCAGAGCUGGUACAAGCUCUAGGACGAAUUAACUACUCGUGGUAAUUUUAUAACAAAAAAUCUAAAACUUAUUUUAGUACUGAUUUUUUAUCUAAAGGUUAUUUAUACAUCAUGUACUACCAAUUCUUUAUAUUUAUUUUUCAGGAGUUUGGCCCAGUCGACAAGCUACGCUCGGGGACUCGUCGACUAUUCCCUACGCUGUGCCCGGGGACUGCUCCGACCACCGAGCACGUUUACGUUCCCAACCACGCUCGGGGACUUGUCGACUACUCUCUAUGCUGUGCUCGAAGACUGUGCCGACCACCGAGCACGUUUACGUUCCCAACCACGAUCGGGAACUUGUCCACCGGUCCCUACGCCGUGCUCGGGGACUGUGCCGACCACUGAGCAUUAUACGCUCGGGGACUGGUCGACCAGCUCACCAAUUUGAGAGUUUGGGGUUUGCACCGACCACCGAGCACUAUACGCUCGGGGACUGGUCGACCAGCCCACCAAUUUGAGGAUUCGGGGACUGUACCGACCACCGAGCGUUAUAUGCUCGGGGACUGGUCGAUUAGUCUAUUCAAUUGCAGACGAGCAUGAUAUGCUCGGGGACUGGAGAAUUUUAAUUUUUCAGACCUUGCUACAAGGCUCAUACUUUGCCUUCCAGCAAGCUCGGGGACUACAUUGGUACGAUGUAUCUGGCGAUGCAUCCCAGUUUCAAAACUACUUUGGGGAAUUCUCUUUUGACCCUGGCACCACAUGCCUACGUCACCUACUACCAGACUCGGGGACUAAGUGGGCACACUUCACCUUGCGGUGAAUAUGUUUGCUUUUUUGAGGUCUAUACUUUUCAAAAAAGUAAAGUGGGCACACUUCACCAGGAAAGAAAUCUUUUUUAAUUAAGAGCACCAUGCAUUCUUCGAACAACCUGCUUCUUCGAUGUCAAUGUUGAUCAACUGUCUUUUGAGUUGGUCAAAAUACCGUUGCAACUGUUUGGGCGACUUUCCUGCUUAUCGAAGACGUCAAGCCUCACUAAUCGAAGAAGCUCAAGACGGCAUGUUACAUCACAAUACAUGGUGCUCGGGGACUAGCUGUGGGGGUAUAAACCCCUAUACCCUCAUGGGCCUAUAUGGGCCGCACCAUCAGAGGUGGCUCGGCCCACAGGAUGAAGACGUGCGGCGCACGACUGGUCGGCGUGCACCGCAAGGCUACAAGAUAUUGUACCAAAUAGGAUACUUUGCUUGUAACUCUGUCCCUUCAGGAUAUAUAAGGAGGGGCAGGGGUCCCCUAGAGGACAGAUCAUACAUCAUAUUCUCACAACACAAAUCAAUACAACCAGACACAGGACGUAGGUAUUACGCCAACUCGGCGGCCGAACCUGGAUAAAAAGCUUGUCCGUGUCUUGCGUCACCAUCGAGUUCGUAGUUUGCGCACCGUCUACCAAUAAACUACUACCGUGGGUAUACCCCAAGGUAGACUGCCGACCAGCUUUCGUCGACAGUGGCGCGCCAGGUAGGGGGUGUGCGUACAGCUCUCCCGACGAACAAGAUGGCCAUCAUCCCCGACUUCGCGGCCAUGGCGGGCGACUUCACAUUCACUGUCAGCUUCAACAACUUCACCGCCAUGACCACGGAGGAGGUGUAGAUCCGAUCUGCGCCAACCACUUCUUCAUCAACGACGGCGGCGGCUUCAACCACGCUGGCUACGACUCCGACUACUCCAGCAACGUCUCCGACCACGCCGACAAUGCGUCACCCGCUUCCCUGCUACAAAGGGAGGCAGAUCGACAACACCGACCUGCUCGGGCCAUUGACCAAAUUGUUUGGCCUACUUGCUCUGACCACCGGUCGCAAUAAUCGCCGCGAAGAAAGACGCUAUGACAACAGCGACCACCGUCAUGACAAGUCGAAAAGCUCGAAGGCCGGACAAUUUUGUCGUCACCGACUAGACUUUCGUCCAAAGAUAAGUACACUUCUAAUAUUUUAUUUAUUUUUGGCAUAAUAUUUUUAAUAUUAUUAUUCUUUAAAACAACUUUUUUAGCCGACUAGUUUUUUCUCCUACACGAGCUUUCCAGAGCCAGUACUGUCUCCGACUCCUCCCUACACGUGCACGAGAUCCGCCCUCUGCGUUCCGGGUGGUCGGUAGUAGCUCUCUGACGUGGCUGACAAUCCUACGCGUGCCUAGGUUCCGCACCUCAUGCUGAUUGUUGGCUAGACCAGAGCUGGUACAAGCUCUAGGACGAAUUAACUACUCGUGGUAAUUUUAUAACAAAAAAUCUAAAACUUAUUUUAGUACUGAUUUUUUAUCUAAAGGUUAUUUAUACAUCAUGUACUACCAAUUCUUUAUAUUUAUUUUUCAGGAGUUUGGCCCAGUCGACAAGCUACGCUCGGGGACUCGUCGACUAUUCCCUACGCUGUGCCCGGAGACUGCUCCGACCACCGAGCACGUUUACGUUCCCAACCACGCUCGGGGACUUGUCGACUACUCUCUAUGCUGUGCUCGAAGACUGUGCCGACCACCGAGCACGUUUACGUUCCCAACCACGAUCGGGAACUUGUCCACCGGUCCCUACGCCGUGCUCGGGGACUGUGCCGACCACCGAGCAUUAUACGCUCGGGGACUGGUCGACCAGCUCACCAAUUUGAGAGUUUGGGGUUUGCACCGACCACCGAGCACUAUACGCUCGGGGACUGGUCGACCAGCCCACCAAUUUGAGGAUUCGGGGACUGUACCGACCACCGAGCGUUAUAUGCUCAGGGACUGGUCGAUUAGUCUAUUCAAUUGCAGACGAGCAUGAUAUGCUCGGGGACUGGAGAAUUUUAAUUUUUCAGACCUUGCUACAAGGCUCAUACUUCGCCUUCCAGCAAGCUCGGGGACUACAUUGGUACGAUGCAUCUGGCGAUGCAUCCUAGUUUCAAAACUACUUUGGGGAAUUCUCUUUUGACCCUGGCACCACGUGCCUACGUCACCUACUACCAGACUCGGGGACUAAGUGGGCACACUUCACCUUGCGGUGAAUAUGUUUGCUUUUUUGAGGUCUAUACUUUUCAAAAAAGUAAAGUGGGCACACUUCACCAGGAAAGAAAUCUUUUUUAAUUAAGAGCACCAUGCAUUCUUCGAACAACCUGCUUCUUCGAUGUCAAUGUUGAUCAACUGUCUUUUGAGUUGGUCAAAAUACCGUUGCAACUGUUUGGGCGACUUUCCUGCUUAUCGAAGACGUCAAGCCUCACUAAUCGAAGAAGCUCAAGACGGCAUGUUACAUCACAAUACAUGGUGCUCGGGGACUAGCUGUGGGGGUAUAAACCCCUAUACCCUCAUGGGCCUAUAUGGGCCGCACCAUCAGAGGUGGCUCGGCCCACAGGAUGAAGACGUGCGGCGCACGACUGGUCGGCGUGCACCGCAAGGCUACAAGAUAUUGUACCAAAUAGGAUACUUUGCUUGUAACUCUGUCCCUUCAGGAUAUAUAAGGAGGGGCAGGGGUCCCCUAGAGGACAGAUCAUACAUCAUAUUCUCUCAACACAAAUCAAUACAACCAGACACAGGACGUAGGUAUUACGCCAACUCGGCGGCCGAACCUGGAUAAAAAGCUUGUCCGUGUCUUGCGUCACCAUCGAGUUCGUAGUUUGCGCACCGUCUACCGAUAAACUACUACCGUGGGUAUACCCCAAGGUAGACUUCCGACCAGCUUUCGUCGACACAGAGUGAUGGUACAGUAUGACCUUGUGGAAGCUUUCCUUUCUUAGCGGUUGUGCAUCGUGUUUGUGACACCCUCCAUGAAUCAUCUCUUAUGAGCCACGUCUUUCUUGUGCAAAUUGUUAAACUUCAUGUGUCACUUUCUUCAUCUCCAAUGCGAGUUUAUCUCAGGACUUCCCAGGUUGAUAUUGAAUGUUUUCCUGCAGGGGUUAGUCCAACAAAAUAUCCCAUAUCUACUAUAGCAUACUAUCGGCUUAAAAAUCAACCUAGACACCAUGUCUAAUUUGAUUUAGAAGGGCAUUUUAACCUAAGCACCAUGCUUAAUUUAAAAUCCCUUGGAAGUAAGAUCAUCAUUCCUAAACUAAGCACCAUGCUUAAUUAAGAGAUAAAUGAAACUAUUCCAAACCUAGACAUAUACUAAAGCAAAUAAAGGUAGCAUGAGAGCAUUUAUAGAGAUCUACUUAAGUGGAGAUGAAGUAGUGUAAUUAGUAUUUAACAAAUUGAUCAUGUCUCAAAGGUAAGGACAACCAACGUAGCAACAUGGCAAAAGAUGUUUUUAUGUAAAGUACUCCCCCAAGCUUGAAUUUUACAAAAUUCAAGUUUGGAUGAAUUUAAUUCAAUGUUGUGUGAUGGUUGGUUGGACAUACCCUGUGCUUGUCAUUCAUCCGAUCUUCUUGCUCCAAUCCUGGAAAGGUUAGUGACAAGAAUACCCGAAGGAAUAUUUCUACAAUUAUCUUUAUAUGCUCAAUACACAAGGCAAUGUUGCAAAUAAUUAGAAGUUCAUGUUAUGAUCUGAUAAGUGCUUGUUUUAGGACACUAAGCUUGUCCUUGGGAAACCAUCAAGUUAUGUUGGUGAAGUGGUUUCCCCUCCAACACCUACCUAUAUCAAGAUCAACUCAACGAGAUCUACAAUAUUUAUUAUAGACAUAUGCAUCGACAACCGCCCUUUUAAAGUUUUUAUAAAUAGAAAGGAAGAGGGGUUGGAGAUCUCAAAUAUGGUAAGGAUGGAGAGACCAAAAGAUUGGGAAGAUGUUGCAUAUGGACAUGGAGUAAACAAAGUGGCUAUCAAAUAAAUUCCAUGCUCAUUAAUGUUAUCUUUGUCUCCAAUCUCCAACGAUGAUUUUUCAUGAAUACGUAAAAUUCCUCUAGGAUUGUCUCUCAAGUUUGUUUUAUCUAUCCAUUCAAUGGUGAUAGCACAUGGAUUUUUAAUGCCCUCUAGCCAUUGAUGUUGCUCUUCUCGAUCCUCGUUCUUAUGCAUGGGAUGUCUAGAGAGAUUCAUAGGAUUAUCGGGAGGUUUAAGAGAAAGAGCAUAGUAGAAUUUAUUAAGCUCAAGGAUGGGUUGGAUAGCCGAAUUAUGGGAUUGAAAUGUUUGGAAAUCGGCUAUUGAAACUUCAUUUCCUUGUUUAGGAGAUGAUUCCUUCUCUAUUUCUAAGAUUUUUCUAUGAAGACUAGUACAAGAAGGAUGUCCACGAAUGAAGACAUACCUUCCUUUACUAAUAGAUAAAGAAAGAAGGACUCUACCAAAGGUUAUAUGAUUAAGGCCAAUGUGAAAAUAUUCAGGAAAAAUAUGGUCUUGUAGGGCUAGGUCUAAACCAGAAUUUAUAGAAAGAUUAACAGAUUCCCUAGGUGUAGCUAAAAGUGCAUUAUCUUCUUGAUUAAAAGAUAGGACCUCGGCUAUAGAAAAGGGUUGGUUUUGACCUAUUGCAAUCAACUCCGGACACAGAUCAUAAUUAGGGGCAGGACGUGUUGACUCCCAUGGUCUAUGGCUGGUCUCCGAAGGUGCAAAGAAUUCAAUAAUAGGUAUGGAAUUUGAGUUAUCCAUAAAGAUAAAAAUAAAAAGAUAAAAGUAUAAAAGUAUAAUACAAGAUAAUAGCAAGACUCAAAGUUAUCUCAGCAAACCGUCUUUCUCCCCGGCAACGGUGCCAGAAAUGCUUGUUGAUAUUUGGUAACGCAAUAAGGAAACGAUCCGCAAGCGCACGGAUAUCGGUGAGCAUUUCACCCGGGAGGUUAUCCAGAGUUAUCGUAUUUAUAUUUUUACCACUAGGAGAAAGGGUGCAUCUGACUAACCAAAUCUAUUGCUACUAUCCCUUUAGGCACAAAGAAUGUCUUUCGAUGUGAGUGAUAAAUAGAGAAGACUGCAACCGUAGUCUCCUUCUAACCUUGGUAAGGAUGAUCUACUGUUCUAAUGGGGAGGCUAACGGAAUCUAGACAACACAAAGGAUGUUCGACCCGCACCUAUAAACCCUAUCCUUCCUGCUAACGAGAUGUGAUCUACAAAGGUAGCUCGGAAUUGUCACGUUCCUCACUACUACCACGGUCCAGCUAGUCAGGGAAUAUCUAUGAGUACCCCAGCCUAAACACCACGUUUACACCAGCAAUGAUUACUCUAAACUCUACACGAAGAGAUUAAAGUAAACUCAUAAACCAUAAGAACAAUAAAACAAGAACUUACUAGAAUUUAGAAGUCGAAAUACUGAAGAAUCCUAGGAGCAAGCUUUGGGUUAGGAGAACUUGAUCCCGCAGGUACAAGCUUGGAGUAGACACCGACAGGCCGGGCUUCCUCCAAUCUACACCUCCACUCUAUCUCUCUCAAUCUAGUAGAAACUAGAAGAUCUAUUUCUACCUUACAUUGGUUGCUAAGCCUAAAAAGAAAUAUUAAUUAGAGAAGAGGUUUUCCUUCGAGGGCACCCCACAGUCUCUAUGAUAAUUUCUUCAUGUCUUCUCCAGGGGCCAGGGGGUCUCCUUAUAUAGUCCUCCCCUUCUAUGCGUUUUUGGGUCGAUAGGCGAUGUGGUACUAUGUUAUUCUUGAUCCAAUAGGUCGGUGGAAUAUCCCGAGCGAAGAGAGUCCUGAAAGCAAUCCAGUAGGGGGCGGGCGCCCAGGUCACUAGGGCGGGCGCCCUGGGCCUGGCCCCUUUCGGCCUCCGUCUUCUUCCCGUGGAUUCUGGAGUCUUCUAGAUGGUAGAAAAUCGCGCGGUGCGUUCAUAUCUCUAUGUAAUCCUGACAUGUGGGCCUUUCUUCCUUAUUUCCUGAUAACCCCCUGCAGAAAUAGACAAACACCAAAACUCGUGGAAUUCUGUCAGAUAAAACCCUAAGUCUAGAUGUUGAUUUCAUUUAGAUCCUUUUCUUUGUUUACUCCCUCUGUCCCUGAAAGAAUCAAUUCCUAGGAUCCGUGCCAGUCAAACUUUUUAAAGUUUGACUAACUUUAUAGAAAAGAGUAACAACAUCUAUAAUAUAAAAUACACAUUAUAUGAAAAUAUAUUUUAUGAUGAAUCUAAUAAUACUAAUUUGAUACUAUAAAUCUUAGCAUUUUUUUCUAGAAAUUUGGUCAAAUUUUAAAAAGUUUGACUUAGGACAACUCUAGAAAUUGAUUCUUUCAGGGACGGAGGGAGUAUUUGAUAAUUAAAUUUGAUACUUAAGGACCGUCAACAGGGUGAAGCGGGCAAUGGCUGUUGUCUGCUCAAGCUUUUCUUACGAUAUGGAGCUGGUGUCCCACGGCUUCGUUACCAACAUCUCCAAGACCGACAUAGAGAACGAGGAGAGGCUCCACGCCUUGAUCGACGAUGCGGAGGACCCUGGGGAAAGGCUGGCGAAGUUGUUCGAGCCAGAAGUGCUUCCUCCCGAGACUAGCUCGGGCGCGGACGAUGGUGGUGAGGGCCGAGACACAGACUAAGGCCUGCGAGCCUAUUCUGGGUGCUAAGGCCCCUUGAUAAGUACUUUUAUCUUAAGAAAAAGCUAUGUCUUUAAGUGGUUUAUAAGAUUUGUGAAUAUCUAUUUAUUUUUGUGUUCGAAAUUCCUUUGCUUCCUCAUUCGGUCUUUUGUUAAGGCGACCUUGAUUGCCUCGAGGGUGAGGGAGUGAGUAGAGUUACCAUAGCCCGGGGGCGUAGGUGUUCUCAGGCUCGUCGUCUCUCAGCCCUUAAGGGGCUCGAGGUGUCUUUACUACUUGACAAUGUGAGGCAUACUUAUAGGAAAAAAUCACUCAGUUUUUGAGAAACUUGGGGGGGUCCCCCCUGCUAGCCCCCGAGGGAGUAUUGACUAUGAUGGGUCAUAGUCGGUACUCCCUUCUAACGUCAAGAUUUCGACCGGCAAAAAAGUAAGUUACUUAAGGGAAAGAUCUCAUUCAUUCAUGCAUUCCUUCAUAAGAUCAUGGUACAGAAUGUACAUGAGAACAUAAAGCUUUGAAACUCUAGGGGUAGAAUCGACGUAGCUAUUCGAUGUUCCAUGCGUUGGUGAAGACCGCCCCUUUUUCGUCCGUGAGCUUGUAUGUGCCUGGCUUCAGGACCUCGGCCACCAUGUAUGGGCCCUCCCAGGGCGGAGUCAGCUUGUGGCAUCCUUGGUUGCUUUGCCGCCACCGUAGGACAAGAUCGCCCACGUUCAGAUCCUUUUUGCGCACGUGCUUGUCGUGAUAGCGUCGAAGCUUCUGCUGGUACCUGGCGGAGUUGAGGAGGGCCAUGUCUCGAGCUUCCUCGAGCUGGUCGACCGUGUUCUAUUGAGUUUCCUCAUUUGUCUGCUCAUUGUAGGCCUUGAGUCGAGGUGACCCAUACUCGAGAUCUGUUGGAAGCACGGCCUCGGAGCCGUAGACCAUGAAGAAUGGAGUAUAUUUCGUGGCUCUGCUUGGCGUCGUCCUUAAGCUCCAUAGGACCGAAGAGAGCUCUUCGAUCCAUUUCUUACUAAAUUUCUUCAACCGAUUGUAGAUUCUUGGUUUGAGCCCCUGCAAUAUCAUGCUGUUGGCACGUUCGACCUGGCCGUUAGUUCGAGGGUGAGCCACUGCAGACCAGUUCACACGGAUGUGAUGCCGGUCACAGAAGUCCAAGAACUUUUUGCCGAUGAAUUGAGUGCCGUUGUCGGUGAUGAUGAUGUUGGGAAUCCCAAACCGGUGGAUGAUGUUGGUGAAGAAGAGGAUGACUUGCUCAGAGCAGAUGUUCGUGAUGGGUCGAGCCUCGAUCCACAUGGAGAAUUUGUCGACGGCUACCAGCAGAUGGGUGUAUCCUCCUACUGCUUUCUGUAGAGGCCCUACGAGGUCGAGGCCCCAUACCGCGAAUGGCCACGUAAUGGGGAUCAUCUGGAGAGCAUGAGCAGGAAGAUGUGUCUGCUUGGCAUAAAACUGACACCCAUGGCAUGAGCGUACGAGCUCGAUGGCGUCAGCUACGGCCGUUGGCCAGUAGAAACCUUGUCGGAAGGCGUUCCCCACGAGGGUCCGCGGAGCAGCGUGGUGGCCACAAGCCCCCGAGUGUAGAUCCUCGAGGAGCUUUCGACCUUCUUCUACGGUGAUGCAGCGCUGCAGGAUCUCGGUCGGGCUUCAUCGAUAUAGUUCGUUGCUUUCGCCGUAAAUUACGUAUGACUUGGCCCGUCGAGCGAUACGGCGGGCCUCAGAUCGAUCUUCUCAUAGCUCGCAUCGAAUCAGGCAAUCGAGGAACGGCGUGCGCCAGUCGAAUGGUCGACCGUUUCAUUGUUCCGCCUCCAUUACUUCUGCUGCUGCUAGUGGGGCUUCAAGGGUAUCGGUUUGUUGUAGGACGUCAGCCCCCGAGCCCAAGUCGACGGAUGUCUCACGCAGAUCUCUCGAAAAUGCGUCGGCCGGGGCCGUGCCUCGAGUUGAUGCGAUCUUUGGGAGCUCGUCGGCCGCCUUGUUAUAGCGUCGGGCGAUGUGGACGAGCUCGAGGUCGUGGAACUUGUCCUCGAUCCGACAUACCUCCUUGCAGUAUGCCUCCAUCUUUAGAUCGUGGUAGCUCAAGGCCUUCAUUACCUGAUCGAUGACGAGCUGAGAGUCGCCUCGAACGUCGAGGCGCUGAACCCCUAGCUCGAUGGCGAUCUUCAGCCCGUUGACAAGGUCCUCGUACUCUGCGACGUUGUUGGACGCGGCAAAAUGUAUUCUAAUGACAUACCUCAUAUGGACGCCGAGGGGCGAGACAAAUAGCAGACCCGCCCCAGCUCCUAUCUUCAUGAGAGACCCGUCGAAGUACAUCGUUCAUAGUUCUGCUUGAACUUGAGCCGGGGGGAGCUGGGAGUCCGUCCAUUCCAUGACAAAAUCCACCAAAGCUUGAGACUUGAUGGAUUUGCGGGGCGCAUAAGUGAGGGUCUCACUCAUGAGCUCGACCGACCAUUUGGCGAUUCUUCCCGUGGCUUCCCGACUUUGGAUGAUCUCGCCCAAGGGGAAUGAUGAGACCAUCGUGAUAGGGUGUCCGAGGAAAUAAUGUCGCAGUUUGUGUCGGGCGAGGAUCACCACGUAGAUGAGUUUCUAGAUCUGCAGAUAUCGUACCUUGGUCUCUGAGAGUACCUCGCUGAUGAAGUAGACCGGCCUCUGGACCGGCAGCGCAUGUCCUUCUUCCUGCCUUUUGACCACCACCGCCGCACUGACCACCUGGGUCGUCGAGGCGACGUACAGAAGCAGAGGUUCUGCAGGCUGAGGUGGGACCAGGACCGGGGCAGAGGUCAGUGUUUUCUUCAGGUUAUCGAGGGCUUCCUCAGCCUCGGGGGUCCAAGAGAAACGCUCGGCCUUUUUCAAGAGCCGAUAUAGUGGCAAUGCCUUUUCCCCUAACCUCGAGAUAAAACGACUUAGCGCCGCCAAACAUCCCGUGACUUUUUGCACUCCCUUGACGUCUCAGAUCAGCCCCAUUCUCGUAAUGGCCGAGACUUUCUCGGGAUUGGCCUCGAUGCCGCGUUGGGAAACUAUGUAACCCAAGAGCAUGCCUUGAGGUACACCGAAGACGCAUUUUUUGGGAUUGAGCUUGAUCUUGUUGGCGCGUAGGCAACCGAAAGCGAUCUCGAGGUCAUGAAUCUGGUCUCCUCAUUUCUUUGACUAGACGACGAUGUUGUCGACAUAUGCCUCGACCGUUGUCCCUAUAUGCUUGCCAAAUACGUGGAGCAUACAUCGCUGGUAUGUCGCCCCAGCAUUUUGAAGCCCGAACGACAUGGUCACGUAGCAGUACAUCCCAAAAGGCAUAAUGAAAGACGUCGCGAGCUGGUCGGAUUCUUUCAUUUUUAUUUGAUGGUAACCAGAGUAUGCAUCAAGGAAAGAAAGGAUCUCACAUCCCGCGGUAGAAUCAACAAUUUGAUCGAUACGUGGUAAUGGAAAAGGAACUUUCAGACAUGCUUUAUUUAAACUUGUAUAAUCGACACACAUCCUCAUUUUCCCAUUAUUUUUCUUAACUAGUACAGGGUUUGCUAACCAGUCGGGAUGGUGAACCUCCUUGAUGAAUCUGGCCGUCAAAAGCUUGUGGAUCUCCUCACCAAUGAUCUUGCAUUUCUCCUCGUCGAAGCGACACAACCGUUGUUUCACUGGCUUGGAACAGGCUUGAAUUUCCAAGGAGUGCUCGGCGACUUCCCUCGGUAUGCCUGGCAUGUCCGAGGGACUCCAUGCAAACAUGUCGGCGUUUGCACGGAGAAAGUCGACGAGCACGGCUUCCUAUUUGGGGUCUAGCUCGGUGCUGAUUGUCAGCACCUUGCCGUCGGAGUCAUCGGGGUUGAGCGGGAUCUUCUUCGUUCCUUCUGCCGGCUCGUAGCUGCCCGCGUGACGCUUGGGCUCUGGAGCCUCUACGGCUAAGGCCUCGAGCUUCUAGGUGAGCUCGGUGGAGUUCUCGAUAGCUUCUCCAUACUCAACGCACUCGACAUCGCACUCGUACGCGUGCUCGUAGGAGGAGCUGACGGUGAUGACCGCCUUGGGCCCAGGCAUCUUCAGCUUCAGGUAGGUGUAGUUGGGUAUAGCCAUGAAUUUGGCAUAGCCCGGGCGCCCGAUGAUGGCGUGGUGCGUGCCUCGGAAUCCUACCACUUCAAAGGUAAGAACCUCCUUCCUAAAAUUGGCCGUCGUGCCAAAACAGACUGGUAAGUCGAUUCGACCUAUUGGCAGCGCCUUCUUUCCUGGUACAACACCAUGGAAUCCGCCCGCGCUUGGUUGGAGUUGUGCCCUGUUGAUGCCGAGAAGGUCGAGGGUCUCGAGGUAGAUGAUGUUCAGGCUGCUGCCGCCGUCCAUCAACACCUUUGAGAGUCUAGUGUUGACGAUGAUGGGGUCGACGAUGAGUGGGUAGACUUCUGGGGCGACUACCAUGUUGGGAUGGUCGUCUCGGUUGAAGGUGAUGGGGAUGUUUGACCAGUUGAGGUACUGGGGCACCGCCAUCCUUGCCGCAAAGACCUCACGAUGCUCCCUCUUGCGCUGCCUUGCAGUUAGCUAUGUUGAGGGUCCGCCGUAGAUCAUGUAGAAGUCGUGGACGGCUGGGAAACCCUCGUCUUCUUUGUCAUCCCCCUUGUCGCCAUCCUUUUCUUUCUUCUAGUCGUCCUUCUUGAACCCCACGCCGUCGAAGUGUCUCUUCAGCAUGCGGCAGUCCUCGAGCUUGUGGUUCGCCCCUCCCUUAUGGUAAGGGCAGGGCUCCUUCAGCAUCUUGUCGAAGAUAGCUCCUUCAGGGGGCCUCGAUGUCGUUUACGAUCCAUGGCGGCAACGAGGUCGUCGUCGAGGGCCUCCUGUUGGAAUAGCCACGCUUUCUUCUUCUUCUUGUUCUUCUUGGGUCCUCGACUGGGGCCCUCAUCGUCGUCAGUUGGCAAUUUGCCUUUGCUUCUUUCGCAGCUGAAGAAAGCGCCGACUGCUUCCUCGCCUACAGCGUAGUUCGCCACUACGUCCAUCAGCUCGUCGACGGUCUGGGGGCGAUUCCGUCCACAUUCUCGCACCAAAUCUUGGCUGGUGGUGCCCGAGACAAAUGCCAGGAUGAUGUCGUGGUCUGGGAUGUGCGGCAGUUCGGUGCGCUGCUUUAAGAAGCGUCGAACAUAUUCUCGGAGAGAUUCUCCUGACUUCUGCUUGCACUUGCUGAGAUCCCACGAGUUGCCGGGCCGUAUGUAGGUCCCUUUGAAAUUGCCUUCGAACACUCUGACCAAAUCGGUCCAGUCGUGGAUCUGGUUGGCUGGGAGCUCCUCGAGCCAUCUGCGGGUGUUGACGGUCCUUAAGUACCAAAUAUAAUCAUCAAAUAAAUAAAGAAAAGGAUCCAAAUGCAACCAACACCUAGACUUAGGGUUUUAUCUGACAGAAUUCCACGAGUUUUGGUGUUUGUCUAUUUCUGCAGGGGGUUAUCAGGAAAUACGAAAGAAAGGCCCACAUGUCGGGAUUACAUAGAGAUAUCAACGCACCGCGCAAUUUUCUACCAUCUAGAAGACUCCAGAAGCCACGAGGAGAAAGCAGAGGCCGAAAGGGGCCAGGCCCAGGGUGCCCGCCCUCCUUCCAUGGGCGCCCGCCCUGUCCUGGACUCCGUUCGGGACUCUCUUCGCACACGAUGUUCCACCGACCUAAAGGAUCAAGGAUAACAUAGUACCACAUCGCCUACCGACGCAAAAACGCAUAGAGGAGGAGGACUAUAUAAGGAGACCCCCUGGCCCCUGGAGAAGACAAGAAGUUAUCAUAGAGAUUGAGGGGUGGCCUCGAAGGAAAACCUCUUCUCUAAAUAAUAUUUCUUUUUAGGCUUAGCAACCAAUGUAAGUAGAAAUAGAUCUUCUAGUUUCUACUUGAUUGAGAGAUAUAGAGUGGAGGUGUAGAUCGGAGGAAGGCCGGCCUGUCGGUGUCUACUCUGAGUUGUACCUGCGGGAUCAAGUCUCCUAACCCGAGGCUUGCUUCUAAGAUUCUUUAGUAAUUUGACUUCUGAUUCUAGUAAGUUCUUGUUUUAUUGUUCUUUGGUUUAUGAGUUUACUUUAAUCCUCUUCCGGUUGAGUAUUAGAGUAAUCAUUGCUAGCGUAAACGUGGUGUUUAGGCUAGGGUACUCAUAGAUAUCCCCUGACUAGCGGGACCGUGGUAGUAGCGAGGAACGUGACAUUUCCGAGUUACCUUUGUAUCCCAAAUCUUGUUAGCAGGACGGGUAGGGUUUAUAGGUGUGGGUCGAACAUCCUUUGUGGUGUCUAGAUUCCGUAAGCUUCCCCAAUAGAACAGUAGAUCAUCCUUACCAAGGUUAGAACGAGACUACGGUUGCAGUCUUCUCUAUACAUCGCUCACAUCGAGAAACAUUCUUUGUAGCCUAAAGGGAUAGUAGCAAUAGAUUUGGUUAGUCAGAUGCACCCUUUCUCCCAGUGGUAAAAAUAUAAAUACGAUACUCUGGAAAACCUCCCGGGUGAAAUGCUCACCGAUAGCCGUGCGCUUGUAGAUCAUUUCCUUAUUGCGUUACCAAAUAUCAACAAGCAUUUCUGGCGCCGUUGCCUGGGAGAAAGACGAUUUGCUGAGAUAACUUUAAGUCUUGCUUUUAUCUUGUAUUAUACUUUUAUACUUUUAUUCUUUUAUCUUUUUACUUUUAUCUUUAUGGAUAACUUAAAUUCUAUACCUAUUAUUGAAUUCUUUGCACCUUCGGAGACCAGCCAUAGACCAUGGGAGUCAACAAGUCCUGCCCCUAAUUAUGAUCUAUGCCCGGAGUUGAUUGCAAUAGGUCAAAACCAACCCUUCUCUAUAGCUGAGGUCCUAUCUUUUAAUCAAGAAGAUAAUGCACUUUUAGCUACACCUAGGGAAUCUGUUAAUCUUUCUAUAAAUUUUGGUUUAGACCUAGCCCUACAAGACCAUGUUUUUUCUCGAUAUGUUCACAUUGGUCUUAAUUAUAUAACCAUUGGUAGAGUUUUUCUUUCUUUAUCUGUUAGUAAAGCAAGGUAUGUCUUCACUCGUGGACAUCCUUCUUGUACUAGUCUUCAUAAAAAAUUCUUAGAGAUAGAGAAGGAAUCAUCUCCCAGGCAAGGAAAGGAAGUUUCAAUAGCCAAUUUCCAAACAUUCCAAUCCCAUGAUUCGGCUAUCCAUCCCAUCCUUGAGCUUAAUAGUUUCUACUAUGCUCUUUCUCUUGAACCUCCCGAUAAUCCUAUGAAUCUCUCUAGACAUCCCAUGCAUAAGAAGGAGGAUCGAGAAGAGCAACAUCAAUGGCUAGAGGGCAUUAAAAAUCUAUGUGCUAUCACCAUUGAAUGGAUAGAUAAAACAAACUUGAGAGACAGUCCUAGAGGAAUUUUAAGCAUUCGUGAAGAAUCAUCCUUGGAGUUUGAGAAUGAGAGAAACAACAGUGAGCAUGGAAGUUAUUUCAUAAAUACCUCAUCAAGUCCUUGCUCAUAUAAAACAUCUCCCUAAUCAAUUGGUCUCUCUAACCUUACCACAUUUGAGAUCUCCAACCCCCUCUUCUUUUCUAUUUAUAAAAACUUUAAAAGGGCGGUUGUCGAUGCAUAUGUCUAUAAUAAAUAUUGCAGAUCACGUUGAGUUGAUCUUGAUAUAGGUCAGCGUUGGAGGGGAAACCACUUCGCCGACAUAAUUUGAUGGUUUCCCAAGGAUAAGCUUAGCGUCCUUAAACCAGCACUUAUCAGAUCGUAACAUGAAUUUGCAACAUUGCCUCGUGUAUUGAGCAUAUUGAGAUAAUUGUAGAAAUAUUCCUUCGUGUAUUCUUGCCACUAACCUUUCCAGGAUUGGAGCAAGAAGAUCGGAUGAAUGACAAGCACAAGGUAUGUCCAACCAACCAUCAUACAACAUUGAAUUAAAUUCAUCCAAACUUGAAUUUCGCAAAAUUCAAGCUUGGGGGAGUACUUUACAUAAAAACAUCCUUUGCCAUGUUGCUAUGUUGGUUGUCCCUACCUUUGAGACAUGCUCAAUUUGUUAAGUACUAAUCACACUACUUCAUCUCCACUUGAGUAGAUCUCUAUAAAUGCUAUCAUGCUACCUUUGUUUAUCCUAGUAAGUGUUGGUUUGGAAGUACUCGACAUACUUCCAUUGGCAUUUAAAUUAAGCAUGGUGCUUAGGUUAAAUAGCCUUCCUUAAUUUGAUUAGACAUGGAGUCUAGUUUGGUUACUGAACUAAAAACUGCUUGAGUAGGCAUUGGUAUAGUUUGUCGGACUAACCCCUGCAGGAAAACUUUCAAUAUUAACCUGGGAAGUCCUGAGCUACAAGCUCAUUGGAGAUAAAGGAGACACAUGAAAUUUAACGACUUGCACAAGGAAGACAUAGCUAAUUCAUCAUAAAGAGAUGAUCCAUGGAGGGUGCCACAAACACGAUGCACAACCGCUAAGAAAGGAAAGCUUCCACAAGGUGAUACUAUACCAUCACUCUUCAAGUAAGGUAACACCUUAAGGUACUUGACUAUCACUUUUAUAAACUUCUCCUUGGUUCUGGCAUUCACACAAAAUAAAGAGACAAACAUGUAUGAUCUAUAACUCCAGAUUAACCAACUCAAUUAAUUCAACAUGUUUAGUCCUUUAAUCUUUGUUCUUAGUACUACCUUCGUGAUCCCACACUCCUAAUCAUAUAAGCUAAUAUGUUACACAUUCAAUCUCUAGAAAAUAUAAACAAAAUAUAAAUAUAGAUAGAUUAUCUUUCCAUUGGGUUGAGCCAUCUGAUCUGACAAAUGCUACACUCAUGAUCCAUCAACUUUGUCUUGCUCACUAUGCUUAAGAAUUAAGAACAAAUACACUUUUGGUUCUGUUGGUGUUUUCCACCAACAGAGCCCAUGCACUUGAUCUCUGCCUUGUUUCUAUGAGCAGGACACAUUUUGAGAAAUGUGAAGGAAUUUUAUAACUCCCAGACUCCACGAAGUGAAGGACCUGGAUCUACGAGCACAAACACACUGAGCAGGAUAUUGCCAACACCGCACUUCGAACUGCUGGGCAAUCAAAGAAUAUAGGUGACACCGUAUCAAGAAGUGCAGACGUCAAGGUCCACACCUAAUCAAAUGAUGCACCUAAAGGAUGAAGACAGUGAGAAGUCUUGUCCAAAAGAUUUAAAACUUUGGAUCCAUGUCGGAGGAGGUCAAGAUCGUCGACUCAAGUCACCUUUCUUGAUCAAGAAGGACGACCCUGGUGUUCCAAGCAUCGAGUGCACAAUCAAUGGAUACUCUUUUCAGAAGACACUCUACGACACCAGAUAUGACGACAACAUAAUGGCCGCAGUCACUUAUCAGCUCCUGCAUGGAACCAUGCUCCUACAACCAAGAUACAUUCAGCUCCAGACGAUUUUCAGGUCAUUGACAUGGGAGAAGACGAGUAUGAUCCACCUACCAUCCUUGGAAGACCGUUCCUCAACACUAUCAAAGCCAACAUCUACAUUGGAACCGGAGAAGUCCACAUGUACUUCCCCUCUGAGAAGGUACGCCACUACUUUAAUGAUUCUAACUAUAUAGUUGAAGAUUCUAAGCAGGUCAGGACAAGAAGAUGGCGACGCAACCGAAAUCACAGGAGGCAAAUCAUCAAGGACGGAUGGGCAGACUACGAAGGAGAAGUGGUAAGAACUGAAGACAUACAGCUUGAACAGAACUAUCCUGAGGAGAGCGUAGCACCGAAUCACGUGUGGAGGGAGAAGAUAGUUAUACACGAAGAGGAGGCGCCACCGGAAUCACCAACUACGCCAUCCAGCGAAUCCCAGGACAAGUGAGAAAACAGAGAGUCCCGUUCGGAGGACUUAAAAACAUCGAACGCCUUGCCAAGAGGUAAACUUGGUAGUUAUCCUUUUCUUUUCAAUUAUUCAAUUAUAGUUUGCUUAGUUAAUCAGGAUUCAUAUCAUCUCGAAAAGAAAAUAAACAUGUUAAAAAUAGUAAGCCCUAUGUGAGUAUGCUCAUGGCAUAAAACCCAUAGGUACAUUCACUGUGGUGACAUAAAAUAAAUAUGUUUUCAUCUUACAAUAAAAAUAUAAAAAUAAUAAGUACAUGAUCCUGCUAAAUAAAUAACAUUUAUUGAGGAGGCUCAACAUGAUAAAGGCUAGAUAUUUAUGCUAACACUUAACCAGUUUCACAAAGCUUUGUUGUCUAUUUGAGCUCCACAGAAUUCAAGGAUCAAAGAAGACUAGCAGACAGAGGACAUCCUAAUCACUGUCAGGGUGCUGCCGACAUUCAAAUACACCUCCGUCACCUGCUAGCUACAUCAGAAGAAAUUACGUCAAAAUCCAGCUUGGGGGAGAGCACCCCCAUUUAUCGAGCUAAGUGUUUCUACUCGCAUUUAUACUUUACUCAAAUAAUAAAAAGAUGCAUAAUCAUAAAAACCCAAAUAAAGAUUUUGUGCUUUUAUAUAUAUAUCUUUGCUUAGUUUGCUAAAUAAAUAAAUAAAUAAAGUUUGCUAUGAACCCUCAUGAUGAGCUCUCACAUGGAAAUGAUGAAUAGUUGCUCUGCCAUGACUAGUUCUCAAAAUUGAAAUCUCUCUCAAGUUUAGGCAUGACUGUUAUGAAUUAAGAUUUGCUCUAAACCUGAACUUGUGGGAAGAGUACUUGAUCUAAAGUCUAAGUCGUUAACGGAUAUGAUAUGGGAAGGUUGAGCUGCUGUUUAUCUGUUCCUAGAGAUGCUAGAAUUCUGUAGAAUUUUAUCUUUGAAAAUCUUUAAAAUAACACAUGAUGAGUUCCUGUAUGAUGAGAGUUUAAAUUCCUACCACAGCCAUAUAUACAUGCUUGCUAGACUUUGAGCCACACAUUUACUUUUACUCCUUAUGAGCAUUGAGUGUGGUCAAGCUGUGUAGACCCUUAGGAGCUUGUCAUGUGGUUAAAUCAAGAUUCACUUGCACGUUCACUCACACCUGCUGCUUCUACUCCGGAAGUACGCAUCCACAUACAUCCACUCAUUUCCAUCUCCAGAUUCACCCAAAAUUAUUCUACUCCUAAUCCGGGAGAGAAUAGCCAAAAACAUUUUCCUAUCCCUGUUAUUCCCUGUGAAAUAAAUGCUCUAGUUAUUUUGGUUACUACCACUUGCUACAUUCUUUUAGGAGAUGAGUGCUCUAAAAAAAAGAGAAAAAAAGAGAAAAAAAAUAUAAUACGAGGAAAUAAAAAGGGGCAAGUGCCCGGAACCUCGAAGAAAAGAAAAAAGUGAGACGAGAGGUAAAAAUAGACAAGUGUCCGACAGUAGAAUUAGGGGUACAAGAUACCCACCUGAGAGGAAAGAAAAAGAAAAUAUAGAGCAUCUCAUUCUCCUCAAAAAGCUUCAAAGUGCAAGAAAGGUAUGUAUCCCCUUAAAAGAGCAAAAGUAGAAUUAGAUUUUCACCAUUGUUAUCACCAUCAUCACCAUACACCAUUCACUCGCCACACAUGCACAUCUUGAUUUGACUUAUUGACUUGUUUCUCUGGAUCCAUGGUUUGACUAUGCAAUAAAUGUCUUGUAAGUAUGUAUUAGCUGUCUCCCACCUAUGAGCUCUAGAAAUCAAAACCUUAUUAGAGUAGGGUGAGAGAGAAGGCAAUAUCACUAUGCAUUAUACCAAAAAUACCACAUACUUUGAGAGAAGGCAUAUACCAUUACUGCCUUGGUAAGGAUCCAGAAAUACCACAAAAGAGAGAUUUGAGAGAAUCAUAUAAGGAAUCUCUGAGUUUUAUUUGAAAAUCUACAAAAACUCCAGAGCUAUAGCUGAUCAAGAAUAAGAAACAUGGCGCUUGACUUGACCGUUCUAUCUUUUAACUGCUCAAGACACAAGUGAAGGUUACAAGCCCCAUGGUGAAAGGUAAAAUGAGUAAGUUUUAAGUCUUAACAGUUUAUUCUAACUCAGAGAUGAGAUCUUGCUUGAAUGGGUGUGUAUUUUUAAGGCAUGAAACCACUGCAGAAACUCUUGAGUUUAUCCUUGCUCAGGGACGAGCAAAAGGUAAGCUUGGGGGAGUUGUUGACGGUCCUUAAGUACCAAAUAUAAUCAUCAAAUAAAUAAAGAAAAGGAUCCAAAUGCAACCAACACCUAGACUUAGGGUUUUAUCUGACAGAAUUCCACGAGGUUUGGUGUUUGUCUAUUUCUGCAGGGGGUUAUCAGGAAAUACGAAAGAAAGGCCCACAUGUCGGGAUUACAUAGAGAUAUCAACGCACCACGCAAUUUUCUACCUGUUGGUGCAAAAGCUAAUCUGCAAACACAAAAGGCUAAUACCCGAUUUAAACGUUAAGGCGUGCCAGCCGAUUUGACCUUACUAUCGGCAAAGGUGGUAACUCGAAUACUUUGGUCCUGACAACAGCGAUGCGCCCGGAUGCCAC